This 65055-nucleotide long non-coding RNA is filed under the name Zea mays. Its description in RNAcentral is "long non-coding RNA (ZMAY_LNC003922)". The record is from RNAcentral. Lineage: Eukaryota; Viridiplantae; Streptophyta; Magnoliopsida; Poales; Poaceae.
UUCUCAUAACCAUAGCCAGAACCACCAUAGCUCUGCUCCUCGUUCUUCCUGCCAUAGCCAUACCCCGAGGAGCCAUAGGUCUCCUCCUGUGCCUUCCUCCCAUACCCACCACCACCACUGCCAUACUCCUCCCCACCCUGCGGCCUGCUGCCGUACCCAGAUCCAUAGCUCUCCUCAACCUGAGGCUUCCUCCCGUAACCAGAUCCAUAGCUCUCCUCAACCUGCGGCGUCCUCCCGUACCCCGAUCCAUAGCUCUCCUCAAUCUGCGGCUUCCUCCCGAACCCAGACCCAUACUCCGAUCCGUAGCUCUCCUCUACCUGUGGCUUCCUCCCGUAGCCAGAGCCGUAUGUCUCAGCCUGCGGAUUGGCAGAUCCAUACCCUGCUGACCCAUAGCUCUCCUCCGGCCGGGUCUGACCGCCGUAGCCAGAGCCGUACCCGCCGGACCCGUAGCUCUCCUCCGCCUGCGGUUUCCUCCCAUAUCCAGAGCCGUAGCUCUCCUCCUCCUGCUUCUUCCUCCCAUACCCGGAUCCGAAGCCAGAUCCAUAGCCACCGCCCUCCUCCGCAGCGGGCUCGGGCCUGGAUCCGUAGCCGCUGCCGUAAGACGGCUGUUGCUCCUGCUGGGGGCGGAACCCAUAGUUGGGCUUUGGCUUGGCGUGGUGACCGUAGGGGGACGGCUCGGAGGCGGCGUAGUGCGGUGCGUCGUAGGAGGUCGAGGGCGCCGAGCACGGGUAGCAGGUUUCCUCGGACGGUGGCAGCGGGCGACCGAAGGUGACGGCGAGGUCGUACCCACCGCCGUACGGCGUGGGGUCGAACUCAUCGAAGUCGUCCGCCUCCUCGACGGCGCCGCCACGGGGCCUCUCGUAAUACGCGGUGGCCAUGGCGGAUCGCUGAGAUCGGCUGGCUGGUUGAUCAGAUGGCAAGUGGCUAGCGAGGGAUUGGACUUUAGAGCUUUGGUCUGGACUUCUGGAGUGUGGGGGCAGCGAGGGAUUGGCCACUUAUUGGUCUGUGGUAAAACGCGUUGGGGGAGCUCGGGGUGGAUGAGAACCGGGGACGGCGAGACGUGGGGGCACGUGGUCCGGCCAGCGUGAGGAGUCGGUAACGUAGACAGGGACGCUGGAUGCGCGGCGUCGGCGACGGUCGAGGCCGACACCACACGGGCAACAAUGUACAGAUGGCAAUGGUACCGCGACCACAUGUCCGAUGGAUAUUUACUCUAUUAAAGGUAGUUUAGAAACUCAAAUUCUUUUUGGGAUUGAAGAAAAUUAAAGAGCAAAUUAGUUUAUUUUCACUCCAAUCCUCUCUAGUCCCGAAAAAGAUUUGAGGUUUCCAAAGUAGUCCUUAGGGUAUGUAUGUGGGCUAAAUAUUUUACCCGUUGUUCUGUAAUUGGAAAAAAAUCUUCACGCAACGGGUAAACAGGUAUUUAUAACGUUCCGCCUUCACCCAUACCUGUUAACUCGUGAGUAUAAAAUACUCAAUAUAAGUCUAGCUCAAGCAUGAACUAGUACUUUAGUCAUCCAUCUUUUUUUACUAUUUAACAAUCAUUUAGACCAUAAUUGUCGGGGACCAUAAUUAGGGGUACCCUCAAGGCUCCUAAUUCUCAGCUGGUAACCCCCAUCAGCAUAAAGCUGCAAAGGCCUGAUGGGUGCGAUUAAGUCAGGGAUCGGUCCAUUCGAGGGACACGAUCACGCCUCGCCCGAGCCUAGCCUCGGACAAGGGCAGCCGACCCCGGAGGAUCUCGGCCUCGCCCGAGGCCCCCCUCCAGCGGCUAACGUAUUCCCGGCUCGCCCGAGGCCCUGUCUUCGCCAAGAAGCAACCCUGACCAAAUCGCCGCACCGACCGACCAAAUCACAGGAGCAUUUAAUGCAAAGGUGGCCUGACACCUUUAUCCUGACGUGCGCCCUUCAGCCGACAGAGCCGAAGUGACCGUCGUCACUUCGCCGCUCCACUGACCAGCCUGACAGAAAGACAGCGCCGCCUGCGCCGCUCCGACUACGGUGCCACUUGACAGAGUGAGGCUGACAGGCAGUCAGGCCCGGCCGCAGGCGCCAUAGGAAGCUCCGCUCCGCCCGACCCAGGGCUCGGACUCGGGCUAAGCCCCGGAAGACGGCGAACUCCGCUCCGCCCGACCUAGGGCUCGGACUCGGGCUAAGCCCCGGAAGACGGCGAACUCCGCUUCACCCGACCCAGGGCUCGGACUUGGGCUCAGCCCCAGAAGACGACGAACUCCGCUCCGCCCGACCCAGGGCUCGGACUUGGGCUCAGCCCCAGAAGACGACGAACUCCGCUUCGCCCGACCCCAGGGCUCGGACUCCGCCCUGCCUCAGCCGACGGUCUCCGCCUCGCCCGACCCAGGGGCUCGGACUCGACCUCGGCCACGGAAGACAGGCUCGACCUCGGCUUCGGAGGAGCUUCCACAUCGCCCAACCUAGGGCGCAGAUCAGCCACGUCAACAGGAGGCGCCAUCAUCACCCUACCCCAAGCUGACUCGGGCCACGGGGAACAAGACCGGCGUCCCAUCUGGCUCGCUCCACCAGAUAGGCAAUGAUGGCGCCCCGCAUACUCUGUGACGACGGUGGCUCUCGGCCCCCUUACGGAAGCAAGAGGACGUCAGCAAGGACUCGACAGCCCCGACAGCUGUCCCUCCGCCAAGCUCCAGCGCUCCUCCGACGGCCACGACAUCACACAAACCGGACGCCAAAACCUCUCCGGCCGCCACGAUGGCGUGUACUUAGGGCGCUAGCUCUCCCCCGCUAGACACGUAGCACUCUGCUACAUCCCCCAUUGUACACCUGGAUCCUCUCCUUACGCCUAUAAAAGGAAGGACCAGGGCCCUCUUAGAGAUGGUUGGGCCGCGCGGGGACGAGGACGAGACAGGCGCUCGCUUGAAGCCGCUCGCUCCCUCUCCCGCGUGGACGCUUGUAACCCCCUACUGCAAGCGCACCCGACCUGGGCGCGGGACGAACACGAAGGCCGCGGGAUUUCCACCUCUCUCACGCCUGUCUCCGGCCACCUCACUUCCCCCCUUCGCGCUCGGCCUCGCGUCGACCCAUCUGGGCUGGGGCACGCGGCGACAUUCACUCGUCGGCUUAGGGACCCCCCGGUCUCGAAACGCCGACAGUUGGCGUGCCAGGUAGGGGCCUGCUGCGUGUUGACGAACAGCUUCCCGUCAAGCUCCAGAUGGGCAGUCUCCAGCAACCUCUCCAACCCGGGACGGUGCUCCGUUUCGGGAGUCUUGAGUUCUUGUCCCUCGACGGCAGCUACGACAUGAUACUCAUUCCACCGCCGGGCGACAGCGACAAUGGCGGCCGACAGCCCGCCCGCCGCCGGCGGAAUCAACGACGUCUUCCCCGCGUGGUCGAAGAACAACCUUCGAGCUCACCCCGCCCUCUUCCCCGCCGACGGAGGGGGAGGCGGGGCAACCAAGGCCAAGCAGGAGGCAGCGCCUCGUCGGCUGUCGAGCGAGUCGAUAGCACCAGCACCCCAACGGGGGGCGCACCGGGCAUCGACCUCGCGCUUGAGACGAAGACGAGCGUCGUCUCCCCGCAACGCGCCGAUUCCGGGCAAACGGACGACGCCAGCGCGCUCACGAAAGGCUUGCUAGACGUCACCCUCGUACCUGAGACGACGGUGCAGUCAGUCCCCGACGUGACUUCAUCACCGCCCGUCGACCAAGAGGUACCGACCGAUUCCCAACCCACGUCUUUCGGAUUCAGCCUCGACCCGCCUAGCGGCUUCGCUUUGGCGGGCGCUCUCAUAGAGGCAAGUCCAAACCCUCUGGGGUUUCGUAUGCGGUCACCUUGGGACCGGCUGGCGGACGUCUCGACCUACGGGCCCUCUGGGUCCGAGGAAGACGACGAGCCCAGCUUCUGUUGGGAUUUCUCUGGACUUGGCAACCCCAGUGCCAUGCGGGACUUCAUGGCCGCAUGCGACUACUGCCUUUCCGACUGUUCCGACGGUAGCCGUAGCCUCGGCGACGAGGACUGUGGCCCAAGCCGCGAAUGUUUCCACAUCGAUCUAGGGGGUCCCUCCGAAGGCAACCAUCUCGGCAUGCCGGAGGACGGUGAUCUCCCUAGGUCGGUGCCUCACGUUGACAUCCCACGGGAGCUAGCUGUGGUCCCCGUUCAGGUGGGGGGGCAUGACCCACAGCUCGAGCAAAUCCGCGGGGUGCAGGCCAGGAUCGACGAGGGAGCAGGAGCGCUUGAGCCGAUCCGCCGGGACGUCGGGCAGGCAUGGCCGGGCCAACCUCCGGCCGGAGAAAAACAUCAUCUACCCCAGGGCUUCCAGCACCGCAUCGCCGACGAUGUCAGGGUCAGGCCGCCACCCGCAUCCAGUGGGGUUGGCCAGAACCUGGCUGCAGCAGCAAUGCUCCUCCGCGCGAUGCCGGAGCCAUCAACCACCGAGGGGCGGCGAAUCCAGGGAGAGCUCAAGAAUCUCCUGGAAGGCGCCGCGGUCCGGCAGGCCGAGAGCUCCGCCUCCCGAAGGCAGGGGUACCCCUCGGAACAUCAUGCCGCGACUUCCCGAUUCAUGCGGGAAGCCUCGGUCUACACCGGGCGCACGCGCAACACAGCGCCUGCGGGCCCGGGUCGCCUCGGCAACGAGCACCAUCACCGCGACCGUCGAGCCCACCUCGACGAGAGGGUGCACCGAGGCUACCACCCUAGGCGUGGGGGGCGCUACGACAGCGGGGAGGAUCGGAGUCCCUCGCCCGAACCACCUGGUCCGCAGGCCUUCAGCCGGGCCAUACGACGGGCGUCGUUCCCGACCCGGUUCCGACCCCCGACUACAAUCACGAAGUACUCGGGGGAGACGAGACCGGAACUGUGGCUCGUGGACUACCGUCUGGCCUGCCAACUGGGUGGAACGGACGAUGACAACCUCAUCAUCCGCAACCUCCCCCUGUUCCUCUCCGACACUGCUCGCGCCUGGUUGGAGCACCUGCCUCCGGGGCAGAUCUCCAAUUGGGACGACCUGGUCCAAGCUUUUGCCGGAAAUUUCCAGGGCACGUACGUGCGCCCUGGGAAUUCCUGGGACCUUCGGAGCUGUCGACAGCAGCCGGGAGAGUCUCUCCGAGACUACAUCCGGCGAUUCUCAAAGCAGCGCACCGAGCUCCCCAACAUCACCGACUCGGAUGUCAUCAGCGCGUUCCUCGCCGGCACCACUUGCCGCGACCUGGUGAGCAAGCUGGGUCGCAAGACCCCCACCAGGGCGAGCGAGCUGAUGGACAUCGCCACCAAGUUCGCCUCCGGCCAGGAGGCGAUCGAGGCUAUCUUCCGGAAGGACAAGCAGCCCCAGGGCCGCCCUUCGGAAGAUGCCCCCGAGGCGUCAACUCAGCGCGGCGCCAAGAAGAAGGGCAAGAAGAAGUCGCAAGCGAAACGCGACGCCGCCGACGCGGACCUUGUCGCCGCCGCCGAGUACAAGAACCCUCGGAAACCCCCCGGAGGUGCCAACCUCUUCGACAAGAUGCUCAAGGAGUCAUGCCCCUACCACCAGGGGCCCGUCAAGCACACCCUUGAGGAGUGUGUCAUGCUUCGGCACCACUUCCACAGGGCCGGGCCACCCGCGGAGGGUGGCAGGGCCCACGACGACGACAAGAAGGAAGAUCACCAGGCAGGAGAGUUCCCCGAGGUCCGCGACUGCUUCAUGAUCUACGGUGGGCAAGCGGCGAACGCCUCGGCUCGGCACCGCAAGCAAGAGCGUCGGGAGGUCUGUUCAGUGAAGGUGGCGGCACCAGUCUACCUAGACUGGUCCGACAAGCCCAUCACCUUCGACCAAGCCGACCACCCCGACCACGUGCCGAGCCCGGGGAAAUACCCACUCGUCGUCGACCCCGUCAUCGGCGACGUCAGGCUCACCAAGGUCCUCAUGGACGGAGGCAGCAGCCUCAACAUCAUCUACGCCGAGACCCUCGGGCUCCUGCGUGUCGAUCUGUCCUCGGUCCGGGCAGGCGCUGCGCCUUUCCAUGGGAUCAUCCCCGGGAAGCGCGUCCAGCCCCUCGGACAACUCGACCUUCCCGUCUGCUUCGGAACACCCUCCAACUUCCGAAGGGAGACCCUGACGUUCGAGGUGGUCGGGUUCCGAGGAACCUACCACGCGGUACUGGGGAGGCCAUGCUACGCGAAGUUCAUGGCCGUCCCCAACUACACCUACCUGAAGCUCAAGAUGCCGGGCCCCAACGGGAUCAUCACCGUCGGCCCCACGUACAAACACGCGUUCGAAUGCGACGUGGAGUGCGUGGAGUACGCCGAGGCCCUCGCCGAGUCCGAGGCCCUCAUUGCCGACCUGGAGAGCCUCUCUAAGGAGGUGCCAGACGUGAAGCGUCAUGCCGGCAACUUCGAGCCAGCGGAGACGGUUAAGUCUGUCCCCCUCGAUCCCAGCAGUGACGCCUCCAAGCAAGUCCGGAUCGGCUCCGAGCUCGAUCCCAAAUAGGAAGCAGUGCUCGUCGACUUUCUCCGCGCGAACGCCGUCGUCUUCGCGUGGAGUCCCUCGGACAUGCCCGGCAUACCGAGGGAUGUCGCCGAGCACUCGCUGGACAUCCGAGCCGGAGCCUGACCCGUCAAGCAGCCUCUGCGCCGAUUCGACGAGGAGAAGCGCAGAGCCAUAGGCGAGGACAUCCACAAGCUAAUGGCGGCAGGGUUCAUCAAAGAGGUAUUCCAUCCCGAAUGGCUUGUCAACCCUGUGCUUGUGAGAAAGAAAGGGGGAAAUGGCGGAUGUGUGUAGACUACACUGGUCUCAACAAAGCAUGUCCGAAGGUUCCCUACCCUCUGCCUCGCAUCGAUCAAAUCGUGGAUUCCACUGCUGGGUGCGAAACCCUGUCUUUCCUCGAUGCCUACUCAGGGUAUCACCAAAUCAGGAUGAAAGAGUCCGACCAGCUCGCGACUUCUUUCAUCACACCCUUCGGCAUGUACUGCUAUGUCACCAUGUCGUUCGGCUUGAGGAAUGCGGGCGCGACGUACCAGCGGUGCAUGAACCAUGUGUUCGGCGAACACAUUGGCCGCACGGUCGAGGCCUACAUCGAUGACAUCGUAGUCAAGACGAGGAAAGCCUCCGACCUCCUUUCCGACCUUGAAGUGACAUUCCGAUGUCUCAAGGCGAAAGGCGUCAAGCUCAAUCCCGAAAAGUGUGUCUUUGGGGUGCCCCAAGGCAUGCUCUUGGGGUUCAUUGUCUCCAAGCGGGGCAUCGAAGCCAACCCGGAGAAGAUCGCAGCCAUCACGCAGCACCCCGAGCCCUUGUUGGAGACACCCGGGGGCUACACGCACCCCUGGGAAGGGCCGCUUGUCAUCGCCAAAGUUCUGAAGCCCUGGACAAACGAACUGGCCGACAGUCAAGGCGAGGCCUACACCAACACUUCGAACGUCUAACAGCUACGUUGCUUCUACCCUUAAGAUGCUUUCAAGUUGUCCCCUUACCUUGCCCCCACGCAAGUUUUAGUCGUCAAGGAAGGGUCAGCCUUGCCUCGGCAUAGCCCGACCCUCCCUCGGGGGCUAAAAAGGGGGAACCCCUCUGCGUCAAAAUUUUCAAUCGAAAAGGCUUUUGCGUUCCCCCGGCUAUGUCGGAAGCAGGACCCCAAGGAGCGAACGCGGGUGCAUGUAAGUGGCAAGGCAGACUGAGCCGAGGGACUCCUACGCCUCCGGGUUACGGACACCUCACUCGUCACCCGCCACGAAAAGUGACCCCUACUUGGGGAAGCCACCCUACUACUGACAGGCGGAGCCGGACACGCAAAAUGAAAGGGAAAGGAGUACGACUCCAUGCAACGGUAACAAAGUGUUCAGGCCUCAGCGGCCGCAGAAAGACACACGUGCAUCCAACAGAAACUGCUCCGACAGAGUUAGGCGUCGCCCCGGGAAGGAGCCGCGCCUUCGGCUUCGUCCCCGCCCUCGGCAAAGUCCAUCCCGGCUUCGGACGACGGCGCAGGCGGGAGGAUCUCUGCCUCAAAGGUGGUCGCCAGCACUGCGCUCGGACCCGCGGCGACCGCAUCGAGCCUCUGGACUUCUGCCAGGGCGGCUUCAUCUUCGUCAGGAAGGCAAUACCCCUCGCUGACCCGCUCUAGGUCCACGACGUAGUGGGAAGCGAGCACGGCGAAGGCCCGCCUGACGCCGUGGUGAAGCGCCUCGCGGAGUCUGCCGCGCACAUGAUCGCCCAAGACCUGCAGGCGACUUUGAGGGGAGCUUCCUGAGGGGACGUCGCCGGAGCCAAGGACCCGGCAAAAGUCCGAGACGGCCUCGGACAUGGCCGCGUGGUCGGCCUCCCUCUGCUCGGCCGCCCUGGCAAGCGCCUCGACAAGCGCCUUGGCGGACUCAUCAAGGGCGGACUCGAGUUCUGCGAACAGCCAGAAGAAAGAUCUCAAACACAAGCGAAGGAAACAAGCAGAAACAAAAACCGAAGAUGGCCAAGGCGUACCUCCGGCUCGGGCACGCUGCUCCGAGGCUGCGACCUGGGCUACGGCUAGGUCGGCUGCAAGGGCUUCAGCCCGGCUUUCGGCCUCGGCAGCCCGGCCCCGAGAUUGGUCCCGCUCAUUGACGAUCCGGUCGAACUCCGACUGCUGUCGUUGCACUUCUGCGCGCGCCGCGGCCGCCUCCGCACGUGCCGCUGCCGCCUCGGCUCUCAGAUCGGUGCAGAGCAACCGAAGGUCCGCUGCCUCGGCACCCUGCUGAGAGAGGCGCGCAGUAGCCCCGGCGAGCGAGGUCCUCAGGGAUCGCAGCGAGCCCCAGACGUCGACCUCGCGGCGGAUGAACGACGACUUGGCGGUGCUCAGAUCCGUCAGAUCCUGAGGAAAGGAAGCGGGGCGUCACAAAAGACGCCUUGGCCACAAAAAAGAAAAGGUAUGCCUGAAACCGUUACCUGGAGGAUUUUGGGGACGUCCCUGCAGAAAACCUCCAGCGACGACCGGAGCGACCCCACCGUUGCUUCGGCACACUCGCGGAGCUCGUCCCAGGACUGCUCCUCCCGCUCAUCGUCGAGAACGAAGAAGGGAUCCGAGGCCCCGCGGGUCUGGAACCAGAGCAACUGGCGCCGACCCUCGGAGCUCCACCGCGCAGCGACAAGGCUGCCGCUCGGCGGGACGGAUCGCGUCUCCACGCCCCCCUCCUCCGAGGCACCAAGCGCCGACGCCUCGGCCGUCUCAGCGUCGGCGGCGACGAGUCGCUCCCCGACUGGGACGGCAGCGGCUUCAGUAGCAGCAGGUGCCAGCACCGCCGGCAUGUCCGGUGGGGCUGGGGCCACGUCCGCGUCAGCUGCCUCCCCUAGCACGAUGGCUGCCUCGGCAGAAGAGCCGGCCUCGGGAACUCGCUCCACGGCGACUGGUGCCGCCUGAGCCCCCUGAUGUGGAGCGCCUUGCGAGAAGGUCAGCUGAACGGCAAGGCCCGAAGUGGCGCCAGCUGCGGAGGCCGACGCCGUCUUAAGGGCCUUUCGGGGGCCAGAUCGGUCAGGCCAUGGCUUCGCUUGGUGAGGAGGAGAGAAAAAUCACGGUCGGGACAUACGACUGAAAAGCCAGGACGAAGACGUUCCAAGAUACUUACCCGCUUCAGGCCACGAUCAACCGUGCCUGAGGGGAGGUCUCUCGGAUCUCGACCCCCGAAGCCGCCGCCGAGGUCCGCUUCGCCGGUAGCUUCGGCACCACCCUUGCUUUGGGCGCUUUGGACGCCCGCGAGACGGACUGCCCAGGCACCGCCAUGGCGACCUGAGGGUCGCUCUCCUGCGCUGCCGGCGUGGGCGACGGCUCUCGGGGAACAGGCGCCUCGGCCCGGCUCCCCGGGGUCGCCUCAACUCCCCCAGCCGAGGGGUCAGGUACCCUCUCGGUCUGCCCCCGCUCUUCAGGCCGGGACCUCGGCGUCCCGACUCCAGGGACUGACGGCAUCAGCCCACUCGGGGGCUGGCUCGACGGCUCCUGGCCUAACCUCAAGCCAGGGCUGAAGCCGAGGCGGGCAGCCAUGUCGUCUUCCUCGUCAUCAUCUUCAUCAUCAUCGUUGUCAUCAGGCGUUUCGGCGACGGCUCCCUCGGGAGUCCCUCCCUCUCCUGUCGACGACGGAGCUUUUCCAAGGCGUCCCGAGCCCGCAUCCGCUCGCGAGCCCGGGCCUUCUCCGCGUCCUUCUUUUUCUUCUUCUCCUCCGCGGCAACCCACCGCGCUGCUCGGUCCACCGCAUCCUGCGGGACCCGUGGCAGGGAAGGCUUGUGCCACCCUACCUCCUGAAGACGGAUGGAAAUCCCGACCAUAAGAACCAGGGGCAACCCGAUGCGAGAGGAAGGAAGAAGCGGACACUCACCAGAGUCACGCACCCUUGGUCAGGGCGCAUCAAAGGCUGGGAGAAGGCGGUGGGGUCCGGUUUCCCCGACGCGACAGCCACCCGCCCGUGGAGAACAUCGAAGGGAAGAGGAUCGGAGGACAUCCGCGAGCCCUCCAAGUCAGCAUCCGGCAUCAUCUCCCAGAGCGGCAACCGUCGCUCCGCCAAGGGAAGCACCCUCCGGCGGUGGAUGGCGGCAAUCACUCCCGCGGCGGUGAGUCCCCCUCUCCGCAAUGCCUCCAAGGCCUUGAGAAGGGGUUCGAGGUUCUUCUGUCUUUCGUGCGGGGUCCCGUGGCGCCAAGCAUCGGCAGCGACGGUGACUACUCGCUGGGAAAACGGCGGGAGCAACUCGCCGUCAUUCCGGAGGUAGAACCACCGGCGUUGCCACCCUUUGUUCGAGGACGCAAGGAUGGCAGGAAUAUACAGCGACGCCCGCGACUGCCUCAGCUGAAGGAUGCAGCCGCCGGCCCGCACUGCCGCGCGGACCUUUCUCUCCCCCGUCGGUGAAGCGAAAAGCUCCGCGAAAAAGAGAUGAGUCCACAAGUCCCAGUGGGGGCGAUCCCCAAGUACCCCUCGCACACCGUUACGAAGAUGGCAGCCUGCGAGAUGGAGUUGGGGCUGAGGUUGUGCAACUCCACCCCGUAGUGGUGCAGAAUCGCCCGCAUAAAGCGGCUCGCCGGCACACCAAAUCCCCGCUCGUGGAAGGAGACGAAGCUUACGAUGUACCCCGGCGGUGGGGACGGAGCGGCUCCGCCCACGGGGGGAAUCCAUUCCGGCCGCCUCUCAUCAGAGAGAGGGCGAAGUAAACCCUCAGCAACAAGAUCCUCCAGAUCGCCCACCGUCACUGUGGAGGAAGGCCAUGGGUCGCGCGGCGAGACGAUGGUCACCCGGUCAGCCAUCACCGAGCAGAAGGGGUGGCGGCGCAAAGGACAGGGUGGGCGGUUUCCUUUUCUCUGGCUAAGUCUCUCGGUUUGCGAAAACCUAAGAGGGAGGCAGGAAGCGGAGCAAAGAGCCAUCGCCAGACCCUCCUCCGAGUAUAUAAAGAUCAAGGCGAGACCGGUUCAACGUUCCGCCCGGACCGGCCGCGGAAUUCAAAAACACGAAGCGAAACAGUCGUUCCUCGAACGGCUCGCACACGCGCAACGGCCGCCCCGCGAACCGCACGCCCCGUCGCAUUAACUCCACGGCGGGAAAGGCGGCGCCUCUGGCAGGAGAAGGGAGCGAUGCUUCGCCUUCGCCAUAAUGAUCGCGUCGAAAAAGGUACGCCGCGUCGUUCGACUUCGUAUCCUUUUCCUUUUUUCCUCUUUCUCUCUCUUGCAACAGGGACCAGGAAAGGGGGAUACCCCGAAAAGGAUCCUUCCCCGUGAAGGAACCAGGCUCCGAGCCUCCCUACUGAUCAGAGGUUCGAAGGCUGGCCCCUCGGAAGGGUUCAACAGCCGCCUCAGAGCACGUGGGCUCCACACCCACUACUGGUCAGAGGUUCGAAGGCCGGCCCCUCGGAAGGGUUCAACGACCGCCUCAGGCUACUCGGGCUCCGCACCCACUACUGAUCAGGGGUUCGAAGGCUGGCCCCCGAAGGGUUCACAGUCGCCUCAGACGCAGAGCGAGGGAUGACCAUGGGUACGUUCGAUACAUAACCGAGGCUCGGGCUGCGCUCCCGAGGUACCCUAGGACAUUUCCGAGACCAGCGGGAACGAUCUUGUAACGGAAUCCCAUCGGAGGGAGGCAUCGAGCCCUCGGACCCCGUCGCCAGGGGACCGGGUCCGGCAGAUCACCCGCAGGUACUUUUGGGCGUGCCUCUGGGCCUCUAGCCGACCCCUAACGAAUGGGGCACGGACGUCCACUCGGAUUACUCGCCUGCAGCUCACCGGAGACACCAUGUUCAGCGCCCACCGAGGGCAACAUGGCGCUUUCCCCCCUCCUCCUUGCAGAAAGGCGACGCAAGGGCGUAUGUAAAAAAGUCGAGUCUGUCCCUGAUCGCCCUCUCGCCCUGUGCGGAGGCUCGGGGGCUGCUCUCGCAAACCUGGCUCCGGCCGAACCGUUGACAGCGUCAACAUACCAGCCCGAGAACUUGGGACCCAACUGUACACCCAGGCUACGGCCAGCUCGCAUGAGGGAACGACCAGACCAGCCGAAGCAUUACGCGAGGCAUUAAGACCUCGAAGGAGUCAAACCACUCCUCCGAGGCCUCGGGGGCUACACCCGGCGGGUGCGCUCGCGCGCACCCACCGGAACAAAAAACAACCGAGAAAGGCUGGUCCCCUUGCAAAAAAGUGCGACGAAAGCCUCCAAGCGAGUGCUAACACUCCCUUCGAGGCUCGGGGGCUACUGUUGGGGACCAUAAUUAGGGGUACCCUCAAGGCUCCUAAUUCUCAGCUGGUAACCCCCAUCAGCAUAAAGCUGCAAAGGCCUGAUGAGUGCGAUUAAGUCAGGGAUCGGUCCAUUCGAGGGACACGAUCACGCCUCGCCCGAGCCUAGCCUCGGACAAGGGCAGCCGACCCCGGAGGAUCUCCGCCUCGCCCGAGGCCCUCCUCCAGCGGCUAACGUAUUCCCGGCUCGCCCGAGGCCCUAUCUUCGCCAAGAAGCAACCCCGACCAAAUCGCCGCACCGACCGACCAAAUCACAGGAGCAUUUAAUGCAAAGGUGGCCUGCCACCUUUAUCCUGACGCGCGCCCUUCAGCCGACAGAGCCGAAGUGACCGCCGUCACUUCGCCGCUCCACUGACCAGCCUGACAGAAAGACAGCGCCGUCUGCGCCGCUCCGACUACGGUGCCACUUGAUAGAGUGAGGUUGACAGGCAGUCAGGCCCGGCCGCAGGCGCCAUAGGAAGCUCCGCUCCGCCCUACCCAGGGCUCGGACUCGGGCUAAGCCCCGGAAGACGGCGAACUCCGCUCCGCCCGACCCAGGGCUCGGACUCGGGCUAAGCCCCGGAAGACGGCGAACUCCGCUCUGCCCGACCCAGGGCUCGGACUUGGGCUCAGCCCCAGAAGACGACGAACUCUGCUUCACCCGACCCAGGGCUCGGACUUGGGCUCAGCCCCAGAAGACGACGAACUCCGCUCCGCCCGACCCAGGGCUCGGACUUGGGCUCAGCCCCAGAAGACGACGAACUCCGCUUCGCCCGACCCCAGGGCUCGGACUCCGCCCUGGCCUCAGCCGACGGUCUCCGCCUCGCCCGACCCAGGGGCUCGGACUCGACCUCGGCCACGGAAGACAGGCUCGACCUCGGCUUCGGAGGAGCUUCCACAUCGCCCAACCUAGGGCGCAGAUCAGCCACAUCAACAGGAGGCGCCAUCAUCACCCUACCCCAAGCUGACUCGGGCCACCGGGAACAAGACCGACGUCCCAUCUGGCUCGCUCCACCAGAUAGGCAAUGAUGGCGCCCCGCAUACUCUGUGACGACAGUGGCUCUCGGCCCCCUUACGGAAGCAAGAGGACGUCAGCAAGGACUCGACAGCCCCGACAGCUGUCCCUCCGCCAGGCUCCAACGCUCCUCCGACGACCACGACAUCACACAAACCGGGCGCCAAAACCUCUCCGGCCGCCACGAUGGCGUGUACUUAGGGCGCUAGCUCUCCCCCGCUAGACACGUAGCACUCUGCUAUAUCCCCCAUUAUACACCUGGAUCCUCUCCUUACGCCUAUAAAAGGAAGGACCAGGGCCCUCUUAGAGAGGGUUGGGCCGUGCAGGGACGAGGACGAGACAGGCGCUCGCUUGAAGCCGCUCGCUCCCUCUCCCGCGUGGAUGCUUGUAACCCCCUACUGCAAGCGCACCCGACCUGGGCGCGGGACGAACACGAAGGCCGCGGGAUUUCCACCUCUCUCACGCCUGUCUCCGGCCACCUCACUUCCCCCCUUCGCGCUCGACCUCGCGUCGACCCAUCUGGGCUGGGGCACGCGGCGACAUUCACUCGUCGGCUUAGGGACCCCCCGGUCUUGAAACGCCGACAAUAAUGUAAUAGAAGGCUUAACAACAAUUUAAUGAUCAUGUAAUGGAACAUGUAAUGUGCUAUGUAGUACUAUCAUAAUGUUACUAUUUUAUCUUAUUAUCUUUGGUGUGUUGAAUGGAUGGUUAAAUGAUGCUAGAAAUUUUGUAAUGUUAUUUAGAUGGAUAUACUUGAUAUUUGUAUUAUAUAAUAUUUUGAUAGAUGUUUAAUUUUUAUGGGUACGGGUGACCCGAUGGGUGACACAUACCCACAUGAGUAUGGGUAUAGGGGUAAAUCAAUAUCCACCAGUGUAUAUGAGUGACUCGAUAGAUUAUUUUUGUGUCGUAAGUAUAGAUAUGUGGUAGUAAUACCCGGUGGUUAUUUAAUCGUUGCCAUCUCUAGCAACAUGUAGUAUGAUGGUCGCGAGGAGGAGCACGGCGGGAUGGCCGGCCACGCUGCCACGCAUGACGCGUCACGGCCACCGACGCGCGGGCCACCACACCCGCAGAAACCACGAGAACCAGAGCCAAGCUAGUAAGGCUAUGCGCAACGCUGCCCCCUUGGCAGCCCCCUCCCCUUGCAUGCGGCGCGUAGGGGGCACUCUACGGUCGCAGCGGUGCCCCCUACGGCGCCCCCCACGCGCCGACCCCCUUCUCUCUCCCCCAGAUAUAGCGUGUCACUGUUCAUCCCCCCAAACACUGUGUUGUGGGUCCACGAUUAUUUGUUAGUAGAUAAAAAAAUUGAUAGUUGGUAUAGAAAAUGAUAUUUUAUAGUGGUAGUGGGAUAUAGGGGGAGUAUUUAGGGGGAACCGUUGCGAGAGAUGAAAAAAUAGAGGGAAAAAUAGGGGGAAAAAGUGAUAUAGGGGGAAAAAUUUAGGGGUAACGGUUGCGGAUAGCCUAACAAUCCAGAAAGGCACGGGGGCAGCCAAGCGCACCGUUACCGUGCGCCUGUGUCGCGCUCAUGCAUGGCACACACUGGCACCUAGAGAUGGCAAUGGGUACCCGCUACCCGAAACCUGGUAGGUUUUUGCUCUAUUAGGGUAUGGGUUUGGGUCAAUUUCUGUAUCCAUGAGUUUGUUAAUGGGUUCAAAUGGAAACCCAACGGGUACGUGGGCAUGGGUUUGUUCUUCCACUACCCAUACCCGCAAACCUACGGGUUUUUAAAACCCGCCUUAAAAUCAAUAUUCCUGAUAAAUAUGUCUCAUAAUAUUAUUAAUUGAAUAUGUUCUAAUUGAAAUAAACUUCGUGUAACAAAUUUUAAGCUAAAAUUAGUUAUCACUUGUUCCUUUUAUGCUAGCUUAUUAAUGUAUUGAUUGUCAUUUACAUGAUGAAUUAUUUUUUAUGUUGAUGUUAGUGGGUAUGGGAAACCCGUUGGGUACCCGAAACCCGCAUGGGUAUGGGUUUGGGCAAAAUUUUAUACCCGUCAUGGGUAUGGGUUUUUUAGCGGGCGUAUUUUUUCUUCGCGGGUAUGGGUUUGGACAAGUAAUACCCAACGGGUUUUUACCCAUUGCCAUCUCUACUGGCACCUGCCAGUUGCCACCGUCCGGACGGUCGACGGGUCGAGCACUAGUCACGGUUGGGACGUUGGAUUGUGCACUUGGGGUAGUGAUGGAUUCAGAUAUCUGGAGAUCCGAAUUAUUCGUAUACAUAUUCAGAUAAAGUGCUAAUAUGGAUAUUCGUAUUUGUAUUCGAUUUUAAUAUGGAUGUUAAAUAGAAAUAUCUAAAUUUUGUUUUUCUCUAUCUAGUUUAAUAUUCGUAUUCGACAAAAUCGUGAAAUAUCCGAUACUAUUCGUAUCUGAAAGGGAAAAGUAUUCGAUAAAAAUCAAUUUAAACUUACUGUUAUUACUAAUUACAAGUGAUUUUAGAUUUUAAAUAAUGUACUAAAAAACUGAUGUACACCAUUUAAAUUGUUUAAAAAUUAUUCAUAUCAUAGUGUUAAUCUUACAUAACUAGUGAUAUACAAUGAUAAAUUUUAAUUAAUAUUAAAAGUCUAAUUUUGAAUAUAUUAUUGGAGUUUUUAGAGUCCAACAUACAAAUAUACUUAAUAUAAAAAAAUAUUAUAUUUAAAGUCCAAAAUAUAAAUAUACCAUGUAUAAAUAAGUUAUUUAAAAAAUGAUAUUCAACUAAAUAAUAUAUAUGUACUAUUGUUCAUAAUUUAAUUAUAAUAUGAUAUUUAUCAACUACAAACAUAUCGAUAAAAACAAAUUAAUACUUGUUAUGAUGCUAUGUUUCAAAUCAAGUAAGUAUCCGAAUGUGAAUCCGAAUUCGAACUAUUCGUUUUGUAUUCGUAUCCGAUAGUAUUCGUAUUCGAAUUAAAAUAUGGUAAAUAGUGACAUUCGUAUUCGUUUCCAUGCGUAUCCGAUCCGAAUCUAUCCCUAACUUGGGAGGUCUUGGGUUGACGGGCUCGGGCUCGACACGACAGUUAGUUCAUCCAGUGAGCGCGCGCGACCGUGGGGGGCAGGCCAGCACAGGCACCCGGCUUUGCCUUCGCCGUGGUCCAGGCCUGGCGCCCAAAUAGGGGUGGAAACGAGCCGAGCCGGCUCGCUCAUGCAACGAGCCGAGCUCGGCACGACUCGCCCAUCUGGCGAGCUCGAAAAAGCGGCUCAGCUCGGCUCGCUCCGGGCUCGCCGAGCCAACGAGCCUAGCCAUAAAUGUAAAUUUGCGCUCUAAAUUGUAAUAUAAAAUCUUAAGAAUAUUUUAAAUAACAUAUUUUAAAUUAGUAAAAUAGAUAUAUCACUAAUAUAAUAUAGAAAAUAGAUUAUUUUUAUAUAGUAAUCUCAAAUAACAUAAAUUGUUGUCUACUCGGUACUAAUAUUAUAUGCUAAUUAAGAUUUUAUGUAACAAAUUGUUGUUGGGUCGAGCCACGAGCCAGCUCGCGAGCUGCACCGAGCCGAGCUGACUCGCUCUUUUCACGAGCCACAAAAACAGGCUCGACUCGGGCUCGUUCUAAGUGUCGAGCCGAGCCGCGAGCCAGCUCGUCGAGCUCGAACUUUUUUCCAGCCCUACGCCCAAACGCACCUACACGCCGACGCGGCACCUGAGUUGGCGCGCUGGCCCUUCGCCCGUGCCGCCGAGCGUAGGGUAUUGUGCUCGCACCAGCCAUGAAAAUCUCGCCUCCAAUCACUAACGCACCAACAUCAACAGUUCAUUCUGCAGCGGUCCAACCAAAGAGUAACAUAUAUGACAUUGUAACCCGAAAGUGGAUGAGACACAAUGAGAGAUUUUUUUAACCAAUCCAAAAAAUUUGCCACUAAAGAAAUUAAACCUGAGUCUCGAAGGAGUUUUCCAUUUGACAUACAAAGCAAAGGAGAUUGGAUAUGAAUACCAGAUAUGCUAUGCCCUAGAAAAUUCCUAACAAAAUCCACCACAUUUCAUGUACAUAUUACAGCCAUGCGACAAACCUUUGCAUCUAGACCCUCCAUUCGCCAAUCGACACCUCUCUCCCUCUCCUAAUAAUAAGAAAAGAAAACAUCACAUGAUAAGACAAAUCGUUGCACAUCUUGUGAAACUGGUUUAAGCAAAGAUUGACAGAACCAUAUCCCUAUUGCAAAGAUAUGUUAACUGCUGGGUACAUAAGCAGAAUGGCAGAUUCUUAUUUUCCAACAGACAUUCACUAGCAGCUCAGAUGGAGUGCCAAUUAGUGGGAUCCAUUGAGAAGGAUACAGAAUAAGUACUGUGAUAACUGAUAUAGGAAAAUGGAAACACCAAUGGUUAUGGCCAUAUGCCAGUGGCAGAUACAGGUAGGGAUGAAAGUGGUAAUCCGAACUGUUAGGACAAAUUUAAUAUUUUAAAAUAGAUAUGUAUAAAAUUUGAUGUUGAUCUUUUCCUAUGUUAUCAAGCACAUUAGUACAAAUAUGAAUAAAAUAUUACAUAAAUUGUUUUAAGUGUUAUUUGGUCCCUACAACACAAAUAGUUGAAAAAAUUAUCGAAUUUGUUUCCGAAUCCAUACCGAAGUUUAUAUCUAUUAUUUAAGAAAAUAUAGCAUAAAUUUAAGGUUUAUCAUCUAUGAAUCUUUACAAGCUGGAUGUUAGAAACAAGAAUACAAAUUUGUAUGGUAGAUUCUAUAUUCUAUUUAUUCGCAAUCAAAGAAAAAACUGAUUACCGAAUAAAUACCGUUUCCGACCGUUUUCAUCCCUAGAUACAGGAUUUCAAUCAUGGGGCAUAGACCUAAACGAUGCAAUUCACUCAAAAUGUAAUAUGACGACUGAAUGACAUUAAAUAGUUAGGUGUGCGGAUAUAAGGAUACAAUUCACCAACAUUUAUCCACAAGUAUAGCCAUUGCCAAUGUCACCGUAAGCAUAUGAGUUUUUUUGCUUCUUUGUUAUCCUUAAUGAACUGAUCAAGAGCCUGUUCUGUUCUGCUUGUACCUGUAUCCCCAUGCACCUGUACUACAUCCGCCCCUGCUAUAUACAAACAUGUUGCGCACAACCGAACCUUACUUUAACGAUGAAACUUGAACGUCUGGCUGUGAUAAUAUUACAUCCAGUGCUAUAAAAGCUUACACCUUAGGGCUAAUUUGGUGACCAGUGAUCACGGGAGGAUUGGAGGGGAUUGAGGGGUAAAUUAGUUCAUUUCCCCCUCAAUCUCCCCGUGAUCCACUUGUCACCAAAUCAACCCUUAAUCUUAUUAUCUUCUAAAAAUUCUACUUCCUUUUCAUACGAAUAAGCAGGGUAUGAAGUAUGAAGAGAUGUUGGUUGCUAGGCCUUGGUUAAUGGUAGGAGGCAUCACUGCAACAGUUGCUAAGUGCAAGUAGCUUCUAGCCUCAAAUAAUUCAGAAACUGAAGGCCAAAAUAGCCACUACACAAUCGUUAGCCCAUCAUUUAAGUGAACUACUAUUUGGUGUCCUCAGCAGAAGAUAUUGAUCUUCCCAUGUAUUAUAAGCAAAUAGCAGAAUUCCUCACAAUGGCUCGCUAAACAUUUCAUUAUUCUUUAUAAAUGUAUUUGUAUUUUUAUACAAAUGCAGUUAUACAUACAUUGGAAAUACAUAAUACAUAUACUUUUGCAUCUUAUUAACCAACGACAAGCUUAAGCCUCCCAUGUUUCCAGUUCUCUAGGUAAUCAUGAGGUGUGUAUCCCGUCAUCAUUAUUUCCAUAGACACAAAAUAGCGAACCAAGGAAAUCUAAGCAUGCCAAAUUUAUUCAUUCUAUUAAAAGGGGAUAUAUGCACUUAUUAUGCAGUUUACCUUAACGUCUAACUUUAGAAAUGAAUUUAACCCAUGACUUUUGGGCGCCAUCCAGCAAUUACAUCCUCUGUCAGAGCUUGAGUUUUGACAAAAGAAUCCAUUGAGAAAAUCGACUGUGAAAGAAUAUGAUCAAGUAAGGCUAGGAUAUCCAAGACUUUAGAAAGAUGUCAAAGAAACAAAAGCUAGCAUCGAAAGGUACAAUCCUCUCAUGUGUAACUAAUACUUUGUAAAGAAUGAGCGGUGAUUUCUCAAUGGAGUGGUUUUGUUAUGACCGGUGUCCAUUAUCAGAGGCGAAGGCCCAUUAGUCGCUAAUAUGGCCGCUAGCACCAUAGGGCUUAAAGCCCAACUUAUCAUAAUUACUAUUAUUAGAUAUUAUUUCCUGUUAUUAGAUAAGAUUAGAUGAGAGAGUUAUUAGAUGAGAUUAGACGAGAGUUAUUAGAUGAGAUUAGAUUAGAUGGAAGGGUAUAAAUACUUUGUUAAGUCUCUUAAUGGGAAUUAAGCAGAAGCAAUCUAUUUUUGCUGGCUUCCCUGAGGAAGCUGGGAGGCUCCACCCUCCUACUCUUCUACCUCCAUCGCGAUAACGAUGCCCCAACGCUGGUAGCUCGCCCUCCAGCCUCGCCCUCCAAUCCAACACCCCUACUCUCUACAUGACAUCCCUGGCAGGAUCAGAAAUCCUAUCAAUCUGGUAUCAGCAAUGUCAGGUGCUCCUCCCACCACCACCGUCGUGGACCUCCUCCGCCGCACGACCGAUCUCCACCUCACCGAUGGCAUCCUCGUCCACGUCUGCGGCGCCUAUCAUGAUGGAAUCCAUGGCCAUGGCUGCUCAAGAAUUGACCCGCUUCACUACUCCUAUGCAUAUCUAUCAGCGACAUGCACGGGAAGCAUGCGUGGCCCUGAAUUUUCCUGUUGUGCCAUGCGUGACCCCAGCUUGUACAUCGACCCGCUCUCGUGAUGAACCAUCAAUGUACCAUCCUCCUACCCUUUGUCAGGAUCCCCGUCACGUCCAUCCGAUGGUGACUUGCCACGCAGCCAAGGUCCUCUGGCCCAUGGACCGUCUUGUCCUUUCGAUGACUGCCUCGCCGUCGGUGUUCUCCCCUGUGCCACUGUCUGCUCACCGCGCUCUUACAGAUCCUCACUUAUGUCAUCCUAUGCAAAACGAGUAUGAGGCCCUGCUUGCCAACCACACCUGGGACUUACUUCCUCGUCCCACCCAUGGCAACAUUUUGACUGGCAAGUGGGUCUUCAGUCUUCACCCACAAGAGGCACGCUGAUGGCUCCUUCGACCAGUACAAGGCCCAAUGAGUUCUUUGUGGUUUACUCAGCUCUCUGGUGUUGACUAUAAUAAGACCUUCGACCCCAUGGUGAAGUCGACCACUGUCUGCACCGUUUUGUCUCCGGCUCUCUCGCGGUCUUGGCAUGUCCAGUAGUCGUUUUGUCUUCGUCUCUCUCGCUGUCUUGGCAUGUCCAGCAACUGGACGUCAAGAACGCCUUUCUCGGUGGCACUCUGACUGAGACAAUGUAUUGCAACCAGUUGAUCAAUUUCGUGGACCCCGCUCAUCCGAACAUGGUCUGCAAGCUCCAAAAGUUAUUGUAUAAAGUAGGCACCUCAGGUUUGGUACAGUCGCUUUACCUCCUUGGUCUCCCUUGGCUUUGUCGAGGCCAAGUCGGACACGUCGUGGUUCGUCCAUCGUCGCGGUGGUGACACAAUGUACCUCCUUCUGUAUGUUGAUGACAUUGUCCUCACGGCCUCCGGUCCUGCCCUCUUACAACAGACCAUCUCAGCCUUGCAGCGGGAUUUUGCUAUGAAGGAUUUGGAACAACAUUACUUCCUGGGCGUUGCCAUUGAGCACCGCCCCCACGACCUCUUCCUUAAGCAGCGAGCAUACAUUCUGGAUCUUGAGCGGGCUAGCAUGGCUGUAGGCCUAGGCGUUCGGUUAACCGAAUUAUUUCGGUUCGGUUUCUCGAUUUUUUUAGAAAAUCGGUUAGUGGAAAAUGAAAACCGAAAUAGUGCAUUCAAAUAAGAAAUUGGUGCCUCGGUUAACCGAUAAUUUUGGUUCGGUUUUCGGUUAAACCGAAGAAACCAAACAACAUCAUUACAUAUCAAACACAAUUGGAUUGUCGGUCUAAAAAAUACUAAAUAUAGUAUUAUAUGGUUUUUAUUGAAAAACGACAUUUCUUCUAUGUACUUGCUCACAAAAAAGAUUGUGAGGUCCGGUACGUGAUAGGAUGAGGAUUGAGGGGAGGGCUUGACGUUUGAGCCCAUGAGACCGUGACCAUCAAACUGCUUGGUCGCACUUUUUCGCAGGGUUGCAGCUGCUUGCUUGUGUUGUGCACCACGCAGCCGAGAAGGCUCACGGAGUGAUGAGCUGCCUCCUGGGCCCACGAGCGUGGAGCCAUGAAUCUUUAUGAAGUGUCGACGCCUGACGGGAUUGAACAAGGGUGCUCUCAACUUGCCUCAUGGGCCUGACGACGUGAUGGGCUGAGAAGAUUUGGGCUAAAAUGGAAUUCUGGACUAGUGGCUAAUAGUUCGGUUUUUUGGUUUAAACCAAACUAAAUUUCGGCUUCUGAAAAAUGGUAACCGAAGAAAAUAGAACGGUUUGGUCAGUUUCGGUUUUGUCGGUUUCGGUUCCGAUUUUUUCGGUUUCGGUGUUCAGUUUUUGAUUUUUAUUCCCAUGCCUACAUGGCUGAUUGUGCAAGCCUUGCUCCACCCUGGUGGAUACACAGGCUAAGGUCUAGUCCGCCGCUGGUGCCCCUAUCAGUGAUCCCACUGCAUACUGAAACCUCGAUAGUGCUCUCCAGUACCUCACCUUCACUAGGCUAGAUCUCCUAUGAUGUUUAGUAGGUGUGUCUCCAUAUGCAUGAUCCACGAGAGCCACACCUCACCACUGUGACGCGAAUUCUUCGGUACCUCCAGGACAUCCUCGAUUACGGUGAUCCUUGCCCGGACACACAUCGCUCCACUUCUGGGUUGACGUCUUCCUAGGCGGGCAACCUUGUCUCCUGGUUGUCGAAGUGACAGUCUGUCGUCUCCCGCUCGACUAGUGUGUUGCCACUAGUGAUGUCUGUGUCCUUCACGUGCCGACGACUUCUUAGUUCACCGACAUCUUCGCCAAGGGCCUCCCUCGUUGUUCUCGGAAUUUCGCUCCAGUCCCAACAACUAUCGUCACUAGAGUUUCGAAUGCGAGGGGUGUUAGAGUGUAUUGUUUCCUAUUGUGUCUAGACUUUGUAUCCAACCCACUAUAGGCCUACUAUAUGUAUUUACAAACAUUAUGUGCAAUACUAUGGAACCUUCUUCCUCCAAUAAAAACUAAUUACCAAAAAGAUAAGCUCAAAGAUCAUUGUGUAGGACAUGGAUACAUACCUUCAUAUAUGUUUUUACAUAAGAAAGUGAAUCUGGAACAGACCAAUUCUUGUAGUGGCCCAGAGUUAUCUCCAUGUGAUAUAGUUUAGGACCCAGAGAGAGAUCAGCAGCAGAAAUUAUUCCACCAUUAAUAAAUGGACCCUGCACCAGUGUCUCAGAAUUACACGGCAAAUUUGAGAUAAACCACAGAAAAACGAAUACUUAGUUACCAAAUAUAAGUUAAGAUAUCAUAUAACUAUAAAGGUUCAUGUGAAGUUGACAUCAUCUUUCAUAUGGAUUGAAUGUAAAUUAAGAUAUCACAACUAAUUCAUCUUAGCUGAUAUAAAACUUGAAUCAAGUUUGUAUAAGUUUGAACAGAACUCAAGGUUUCCAUUUGUCAUUGUUGAUGCAAGGCAAAUGAUAAAUCGCCAUAUUCUGUAUUUGAGAAGCGCUCAUGUUAUAUUAAACAAACCAAGGGUCUUGAAAGUUUGAAUUUUCCAUAUGGACAUUUGGUUUAUUAAAACUAAGUAGUUUGAUAUGAGCAAAAAGGCGACUUUUGGAAUCAUUGUAGGAUAAAACUACAUUUUAGAUGACUAAUAGUAUAUGCAGUGCAUCACCCAUUAUGACCACAGGGGGAUAUUAGCCUGUCAGCUUCUUCUCUAGUCUCACCGCCUGCAGUGCUGCCAUUGUAACUGCAGAGGGUUGUUAGAGUAAAUAGGAACAGUACCACACUGUCUCCUACACCAGUUCUAGCCACGGGUGUUAGAGGAACUACACAAACUAGAGGAGCUGUUGAGGGGGGCUGAUCUCACUACACUGCCUGAUGGCACACCUGUUGCUUCGAGGUGACAACCAUAAGCUCUCGACAAGGAUGAUUGUUGGGCACUGACGCGCCGUCAUGUGGACCCAAACACUCAGUGACAAAAAGCAGAGCAUGAGAGGGUAACACGACGGUUGGUGGGAAUGAUAGCUUCUCGUUGUGCGUGUCUUAUUUGGCUAUAGGACGGGCGUAUUUAUAGGCCCGUCCGGGGGAAGGUGGUCCAAAGUACGACCCUACCCCUAUCUACCAACUAUAUCCAAAGAAUAUUCCAUGUAACAGAGUAAUUACAGCGCCAUCCAUGCAGCAGACGGCACACACUAAUUUACACACUCGCGCGUUACGCCGACAGGUGGGCCUACGAAGCAUAACUGCUGACGGUGUCCUCAAGAGUCUUUGUGCGAGCUUCCUAUCAGUCAACGGCUAGACAAGGGGUAGGGAAAGAGUCGCCUCCGGAGUAUGAUGGAGUCCCCAGAUGCCCUUUGGCCGGCUGGGCUGAACGGAGGUUUAGCAAGGGCUCCCCUUUCGAUGCGUCGCCAAGGGUGACAAGGACUUCGCUCCCGGGAUGUAGCGAAGUCUUUGUCGUUCCGUUGCCGCCUGGCGCGGCCCCUCAAUGCCGGGCCCGCUCGAUGGAGGCCUCUUUGGUCGGGGUCUCUGCACCAGUGAACCUGCGAAGGCAAUAAAUGGCAAAGGGGGGUUUACAUUAGUUUAGAACCAGGACGAGUUUAGACUCCGCUCAACAUGGUCUUCGCUCUAUGAUCGAGGUUGUGUUCGGUCUCCUCCCCAACAAUGAUCUACAGAGCUUUGGUCUGAGGGGAACAUGAACUACCCUCCUUUGCUUUUGUCUGGCAUAACUUCACCCCUCCUAGAGUAAAGUUGGCUACUAAAUGCAACACUAGCUUGGUGAAAAAGAGGAUCAUCUAGGAUGCCGCUUGUGACCUGUGCGGGGCACCAGAAGAGAAAGGUGACCACAUCAUCUAUCUUUGCACAUCAAUUCUGGGACCGAAUUGGGUGGAGAGCGGACUCAAUCACCGCGGUUGAUGCGAUCUAGACAUCUGGGAUGUUGGAAGGAAUGUCAGUAGGUGUAGUUACGACCCUUCUACUUUGCUGCUGAGAAUUCUAGAAACACAGGCACAACGUCGAGUUCCAAAAAAUGUCGCCUAAAAAAUUGAUUGAUCGCCUCUUGGCCAAAUGCAACAGACACCGCUAAGCUCUGACAGUGCCGCCUGCCUAGACACAUGACUAGGGGCUAAAUGAAAUCUAGAGAUCUCAAUUUUGGAAGUAAUCUUACUCCCCCCCUGCUUAAUAUCUUGUAAACUCCUUGGUUUAAGGCAAACAUCUGGGUCCAUGACCCUCCACAACCGAUAUCCCCCAGCAUCAGUGGUAAUACACCAGGUCAGGACCCCCCUGCUCUUCAAAAAAAUGUGCACCAGCUGAUGGAUUCUAGAGAACUUUGCAAUUUUUUGUCUUGACAUCAAACAUGAAAUAAUCCAUGCAACAAUGCACAAGAAUCUGAACACCUAUGUAGAUAUGAUAAGUAGAAGGGGGCUGCAGAAAUUAUAGAAAUACUGCAGCUCAUGCAAAACAAUUGUACUAUCAUGAACCAUUCAUGUAGCAUUACAAUUGCUACCAACCCACUUACAUUGUCUUUUAGAUAACUAUCAAAUGAAGUAAGCUCAUUAAGUAGUGCCUCUUCUGUUCCAUCGCUUGGAUCUUUGCUUUUGAGGAAACCAAUGAAAGUGGAAAAUAUUUUUGAUCCACUGUAAUGAAAUUUAUUCACAAUAGUUAUGACACUCAUAAUAAUAGAACUGUGAGUAUUAACAAAAUAAAAAUAAAAUAACAGGCAAAAGUUGUAGAUGACCUCAAGAUACAAAUCAAAUAACAUUUGCAAGUAGGAUAUACCAAUAAAGUCACUAAUUUAGUGUCGUAGAUACCAGCUCUGUUAAUGAUAAGGCAUAUUUUUGUACAACCACAAAGAAUGACUAACAUAUUCUGUUAAGGAGAUAUGGAAAGAAAAAUAUAAUAGUUUGUAACUUUAUAUGCUUUUUUAGGUAAUGAGAAGUUCCAUCUUUAGUCCUCUUCAUAAAGAGGCAUCAGUCCCCAAAUAAUACAAACACACCCAAAGUUUAAACGCUUAGACCAGUUCGUCAUGCAUAAAUGCUCAGCACGAAAAUGAAACAGAUAAUGACAGAGAAAUUAGCACAAAAUAUGUGUGGAUGACUCAACAUUUGAAACAUGAGUGCUGAACACCCUUACAUAAGUGCAAAACAGGAGUUAUUAAUUAGGGCACUGGAAAUAUCACAUACACUGAAGCUUUUUCUGGUGGAGUUGCCAAGGGUGGUUCAGGGUAUUUCUCCUCUAAUGCUUGUGUUAUAACAUCAGAAUCACCAAUCCAUUUUUCCUCGAGCUUCACGAUAGGCACUUUACCUUCUGGGUUGAUUUCAAAUAACCUAAUGAAGCAAGACAAAAGCAUGAUGGUUCAUGGGCUCAUGGCCAUGGAACUAUCAACCAGAAAAACAGCCAGUAAUAAUCUGAACAGAAAGGUUAGGCAUGUCUUGCAGAUAGGUACCAAUCUGGCUUAUUAGCUAGAUCAACUAGCUUCAGAUCAUAAGGCAGAUGCUUCUCCUCUAUAGUCAACAAAACCCUCUGUGUGAAAGGACCUGUGGCCAACAUGUGAAAUUUAAUUCAGACUGUCAAGUAUUUCAAUAAUCAGAGCAAAAAAACUUGUGAUGCAGUUAAAAACCUUAAACUGUGGUGUUACAUUCUCAUAUAAAGGAAACAGGAUUCACACACACUUCCAUUCUGGUAAUAUCAAUGUAGCCCAACAGUAAGAAACAGAUGCCAAUAUUAAUCUUUCAAAUUUCUAUUUCAAAACUCCCCAACCCACCCCUCUUUGUCUCUGUUUUAAAGGAGAUGUGACCAACCCACGCCGUCUAAGUGAAACAGUGUUUGGGUAACCGUUAAUAUCUACUCGUAUUAUUAAACUCACUACUAAUAAGAAAAAAUGAUGAUGCCUAAUGUUGUACUGUGAAUUAUGCUGGCAGUAGUUUCCCUACUUGAGUAAAGCAUGUACCAGACUGCAGAGCAAGUUUUGUUAUUAAUAAGCAAAAACAGAUUAGAAAAAGAUAAACCUACUCUAGUUUGUUUCUGAAUGCUGCUAUUCUAUUUCUACCACAGAAACAGUUAUUCUGUGAAAGUUAAUACUGCCAGUACAAAAAUAUUUUGUUUUUCUAUACAAAAUGAGCUCUUUUAUUCUUACAUUCUAUCAGUCCUUCCAGAUGGCAUAAAUUGACAACAAGGACUACCAAUACAGCUUAAGUAUACAGAAACCCAGGAAGGGACAAUACCCAGAAUCCAGAACCUUUUUCGUCAUUAAGGCAUUAACACAUUCUAUAGUCUCCAUUAAAGCUUAAAAGAGGAUUAGGGCAGGAGACAGACAAGAAAUUUCACUCCAAAGAAAAUCUUAAGAUGUUCAUCUCUUAAUAUACUAUACUACAUUAAUAUCAAACUUCACCAAAACACUGAAAGAACAAAUCACCCACCUUCACCAAGCACUAGAAAAAAUUCUCCAAGUAUAAACUCAUCAUACAAGUACACCAUUGAGUUUUCUAUGCACUGCUGUUGGCUAAAUGAUUCAGAGAACAUACACUGUUUAUAUUGUCAUGACGAUGAUCACUAAAACAAGUGCACUAAAUCAAACACUAUUUACCAAAAAAAUGGCUUGGUGCAGACUGCAAGACCAAGAACCUUUGGAUUUUCCAUGCAUUGAUGUUGGCUAAAUGAUUCAGAGCAUACUCACUUAGUCACUUUAUAUUGUCAUGAAGAUGAUGACCAAAACAAGUGCACUAAAUCAAGCGCUAUUUACCAAAAAAUUGGCUUGGUGCAGACUGCAGGAACAAACUAUGUGCUGAAAUAACUACAUCCACACCGCAGACACGUCAAAGGCAGGGUCAGCCCUGAGGGGGGCAGGGUGGGCGGCCGCCCUGGCCCCUAAAUAUAUAUCGAGUAUAUGAUGUAUGCUCUGAAUUUUUAGUAAUUGAUUUUAAUUUACUCAUCAUUCGAUAGUCUAUUCGUUAGCUAUUCGUUAACUGCAGCUUGUUGGAAAUCUAAGAGACGAAUCGAUGAGCCUGCCGCAGUUUUAGAGGAAACAAAUUGUCGCAAACUGCUAGUGCGACGCGGCGACACGCUGAGUGCAUGUAAGAGCUCUGCACGGCACCUCUCCCAGCUCUCUCCCUCUCCCCGCUGGUGCUCAUCCCUUUCUCCUGUGCCGGCGCUGCCCCACCACGCUGCAGCCGCCGCCGCUGCCGUGCUGCUGGAGCUGCCGUCACGCCGCUGCCAGCCUCCGGCAGCCUCUACCACUCACCUUAGGUGCGGGAGUAAGGCGAGUAGGUCACCUUACAUCCCCGGAGUGCCUUACCGCCUAGGCGAUGCCUUAACAACUAUGUUGUCCGCUAUAUGAAUUGUCGAGCAUGCCAAAGAGGUGGAUUGUUAUCCUAAUGUCUCUAUUGCAUAUCAAAUCUUAUUUAUUGUGUCAGUGAUUGUUCCAUCUGUCAAAAAAAUCUUUUUAAGACUAAAAUUAGGGAAAACUAUUUGAGAUCAACAAUUAUGUGUUCAUAAGUUUCCAUAUAUAAGUAUAUAUAUAUAUAUAUAUUAUACAUAUAGACACGCAUGGAGAUAGGAGGGCCCCAAUAUUAACUUUCGUUCAGGGCCCCAAAAAUACCAGGACCGGCUCUAGUCAAAGGCUGCUGUUUAACUAAAAUCUAGCUCCACAUAUUUCAUGCAAUAUCAGGUUAUUAUGUUUUUCACGUGCCAUCAUAAAAGCACAUACGGGUCAUGAUACCAACACAAAAAUCAAUCCAUUAUACCAUCGCUCUAAAAGUGAAAGAAAGCCUAUCAUUUGCAGUUGCACUGAUAACGCAGCAAAUUAAAAUCUCGCCUAUUCCAAAUAGCUAACAACGCAAGCAGAACUAUUGUCAGUUAACCUUGCAUUCUAUAAAUUACAUUUACCCAGCGCGCGCGCGCGCGAGAGAGAGAGAGAGAGAGAGAGAGAGAGAGAGAGAGAGAGAGCUCACAGUCUCCGAGGCGGCCAGGGAUGGUGAUGGACUCCUUAGCGCAGACCUCGAGGGGCUGGGCCGAGGCGCGGGCCACAUACAAGCGGCGCUGCGGCGCGGCACGGGGCAGAAGGCAGCCGCGGGAGCGGCGGAAGGUGGUGGCGAGCAGCGCCGAGGAGGGGCCAGCAGUCGAGGCGGCGGCGGAGGUGCUGCGGAGGAGGACGGCCAUGUUUAACUCGCCGGAGCAGGUCGGCGCGGGGAGGAUGCGGUUCAGUACAAAGGGAGCACGCGGCGAGCGGUUGCAGCUGCGAAGGGGAGAGAAAAGCUUAUCUGACCCGUGGCACGGGCUUGUUUGGCUGCGUUCGAUAACCGUGGAUAUCUAGGGCAUGUUUGGUUUGUUACCUCAAUUGUCACAUUUUGCCUAACUUUUCUGUCUAAGGUUAGUUAUUUAAUUUGAAUGACUAAUCUUAGGUAAAAUGUAGCACAUUUAGGUACAAACCAAACAUACCCUUAGUAAUCUGGACUGUAUACACUACUCAAAAAAAUUCAGCACAAAGUUGAUAUUUGAGAUUCUCUCUAGCCACAUAUUACCCAAAGCAGAGAAAUUAACAUGUUUGUUUAAAUAUCAGAUAAAAUUUAUCUCAUUCCAGAAUCCAUAGGUAACCAAACGCUCCCUUGAUCAGAGGCCGGACAGAUAGAGUUUCUUUUGGACCAAAAUCUCUACUAUAGUUUCUUUUGGACCAAAAUAUCUACUAUAUUUUUGAGUUAUGACCUGGGCCACGGUUAAGUGGCCCAGACCUAAUAUCCGUCCCUAUUCAAAGCAUCAGUUAGGUUGUCCACACUCAGACUGAAUAUGCUACCUUAUGGGUCUUAUCCAAGCGUCCAUCGUCCACAAUCGUAUGUGGUAUGUCUAGUGCAGAUUUGGAUGAUUAGUAGCACGCACCAUCAGAUGUGCCUAGAACCGCUGAAGACACACUAUUUACUUUCAAUUAAAGCCAGCUUUUAGACUGUUGUAGUUGCAAUCUAUAGAGACAAAAUAUUAAAGAAGUAGUAUAAAUUGUUAUGUAUUAAAGUCAAACGAACAGGUUGGAUACCCUUAGCAAGACACGCGGCUUAUUUUUGUUCUUGAUUUUUUUUGGAUGUUAGAGCAUCUUCAAGAGCUCCUAGAAAAUGACUCCUAAAAAUCAGCUCCCAAAAAAUACUCCUAAAAUCAGUUUUAAGGGACAUCUAAAAAAUUAGUGGGGAUAGAUUUUAAUCAUUUCUCCAACAUAUCUCUUAAAGCCGUAGAUUGUUUCUGGGGAGCCAAAAAACCGGAGUUUUAAAGGCUAUGAAAAAAGUUGGGAGCACUUUAGGGGAACUGUUGGAGAUACGUUUUUGUGUUUUUAUAAAAAAAACUUGAUUUAGAGAAGACUUCUGAUGAGCUCUUGGAGAUACUCUUAUAUGUAGAGACCAAAAAUGAGACAAUGGAAUCGCGAAGGAGGGCAUCCGGAUUUGAGGUUGUCUAAGUAGACCAUGUAAAAUAGGAGGUUUUAUGGUAGAUGACAUUAUUUACACAAUGAAAUUUGAUAUAGUGGAUGAAAUAGGGGAUAGAAUAGGGGAUGGGAUAGGCUUCUCCUGAUAGGGUUGGAAACAAGCCGAGCUCGACUCGGCUCGCCCACUGCACGAGCUCAAGAAUAAGGUUCGGCUUAGCUCACGAGCCACACAUUAGUAAAUAUAAUUGUAUUAUAUAUUAAUUAAUAGUAUUUAAAUAUAAAAUAUAGAAUCAUUAUUUAAUAUUAUGAGUAAUCUAAAAUUUGAAUUAUUAUAUAUCCAUCGUCGAAGACUAAAAAUAACUAAUAAUCCAUUAUUAUUUUGUAGAUUGAUUAAUUUAGUACAUAUGACAUAGCUCACGAGCCAGCUUGGCUCGAUUCGUUUCACCAACUAGCCUAAAAAAUAGGCUUGUCUCGACUCGCUCGAGGUUCGCAAGCCGAGCCAAGAUGCUCGAAGCUCGAGUCAGCUCGCGAUCCCGAGCUUAUUUUCUAGUUAUAUAUAUUCGAUGCUUCACGCUUCUCCUAAUAAGGUUUCUUUAAAGUUCAGCAGAUAUAUAGUAGAAGUGAAUAGUAAUUAUUUUAAAAUCUUUUGUUUUAAUAACAUAUUAAGUUUUUAAUACUAUAUUAAGUUGUAUGCAUCGAUCAAUCUAAUUCAAAAGUUUAAGUGAUGAAGAAAAGUGGAUAAUUCACGACGUUUUUAUUUGCCCUAUUUUUUAUUUCUUGGACAAAGAAUGCUUUUCCCAUUUUCUUUGUUUUUGUUCUUUUGGUUUGAAGAAAUCUGUCCCGCUCUAGGCACAACUGGGUCAAAUCAACUGCAACAGGACAUUUGGUUUCGAAUUAAAUCUACGAGCGCUAAAGAACAAUUUGUGCUUCUAUUUUGAAAAUCAACACCAUUGUAUUAUUCUUCGGUAGAAGAAAGUACUAGCGAGCUCUGUUCAUUUGAAGCGCCUUCAGAUUAGAUCAUAUCUUUCGUUCCAAUACUUCAGAUAGCAAACUAUCUGUUUCACUGUUGAUCUAUAUGGAUUAGGUGAUAUUGAAUUGAUUUAAUCUAUAGCAAAUUAAAAUAUAUUUCAAUUCAUUCCAAUACACUCUACUUCAUAUGGAGGCAUUGUUUGGUUAUUCUCGAUCCAUGUGGAUUAGAGUGUAUUGAACGGGAUUGAGAUAAAUUUUAACUUGUUAUGGAUUUAAACUAACUCAAUCACACUCAAUCCACAAGAACUAAGAGCGAACCGAACAAACCUGGAAUUAGAAUAACCAAAUAAGUUCUAAAAGGUUUGGUAUUUUAGGUGUACGAGAGUUGGUGGCUUCCGUGUGGAUUCUUUUCAGUAUGUGACUUAUAUUUGGUUUCAUGUAACACUAUUUUGCUUCAGACUAAAAAGCAUAUGCUGAUGUUAUAUAUGUUUUUUUAGUUUCUUGUGUGAGCGGCCUGUUGAGUGAAUCUUUGACCUAUUUGGAGCACAUGAAUUUAUCUUAGGAACCAAAUUGUUUACCGUAAAUCUCGUGCAUUACAAACUGGCAAUUAUUUUUAUAUAAGUUUGUGUUGGAGCAAUUACUUAGAUUGUGACAGCGGUUAGCUACUAGAGGGCUCAGAGUUGUCAGUAUUUUUUACAUGAACUACUUGUUUAUUGUGUUGCAUGGUGUAAAGAAAAUGGACCCCGACUCAUUUGUCUAAAUGAUUUUAAUAUUUGACUAGGUGAGUGCCCGUGCGUUCCAACGGAAAUAUAUAAUAACACAAUAAUUUAUGUACAAAUAUGUGUUAUACUGUUCUGAGAAAAUAUUUUGUAAUUCAUUUAUGAUCCUAGCCACAUAUAAAUUUCAUCGUUUUAAUCUACCUAUUUCGCCACUACAUUGCAGUAAUGACACCUGACAUCCAUGGCACAACAACAGGGGCAGUUGGAUGAGAAUCUCUGUAUAGCUCAGGGUACCGGUCUUUGAAGUUUAAUCUAGGGUGGUCAGCCUGAAAUGCAAACCAAUACAACCAAAAUUACUUCUCAGGUGGAACAAGAUCCAUUCUGGUAAUGUAUACAUGAAUGGAAUACCAGAACUUUGAUGGGAAAAAACGAAGUUUCGUUUGGAAGGAAGAGUCCAAGAACAACAUCUCACCAUUAAGUAUCUAAAGGGAAUUUCUUAAAGAAAGAAAGAACCUGAAUAUUCAUUCAGAUUUUCUCACAUGGUCAAAACUUGGAAAUAAAAAAAAUAUGAAUGCUAAGUCAUGAAAGAAUAAAUUCAAGAAAACUAAAAUAGCAUUUUAUAGUUUCAGACCAUCAUGUACAAACAUUAGAUCUCAAAUGUGCAUAAAAGGGAGAGAAACUACUUCUGGGCAUGAAUAUUUUAGAUAAGAGAGCAGUUUUUGUGCCCGGGUGGCUGGCGCCCUGGAUAUCAGGACCAUCCAUUUCCAUCAGCCUGAUCAACCUUAGGCAGAGAGGAACCAGAACCAAUGCUCCAGUUGUUCCGUAAAAACUCCAUAGCACAAUUCAAUAUUUUUUAUGAUGCGGAAUAAAAUGACUACUCAAGUGUCUACACCAUUGCAGAAUUUUGUUUUUUCACUUUCAGAUACAUCAUGGAUUACAUUUUUUUCGUGGUCAAUGUUCCAUCUUCUAUAAAUAGCACUGAAAUGUUCCAUCUGAGGUAGCAUUCCAAUAAAUCAGUCAUCAUAGAAAUUUUGGAGAGCUUCAGAAACCAUAAUGAAACACAUUCCAGUGCGUGGUGAGAAAUUUUAACCACUGCACGGUAGAAAAUUUUCACAGCGUGAAAACUUCAGUUAAAACGAAUCAUAGAAAACACAAGCAAUGGCCUGGAUAUCAAGGGUGCAAUACAAAGUAUACUCUAACAAGUAAAUUGAUUUUGUGUAUAUCACCAAUUCAGCCAAAAAAGGCUACCAAGAAACAAACAACCUGGAACACACAACACAAACAUGUUUCCACCAACAGAUUGUACAAUAGGGUGGUUUGCUAUCUGAUGCACGUAACAUAACAUCAUCAACAAUUAGAAGAGUGUUUUUUUUAUUAUGAUGAUAAUUGAGUAUAAUCGUCUGUCGAACUCCUAAUACAUCUCAGUUCCUAUGUCAAAUGAUGAAUUUUUUGUCAGUUCCAUUUUUGGCAGAAGAGUUACUAACCAGUAGAUUUAUUUUGCCAAAACAGUUAACCUCUUUUCACGGAAGCAACUAACCUUAUCAAUUGGUAUAAGGUUGCGACAAGACUAUGAAUCACAGGGAUAGGCGCAGUCAAUCUCCACGGCAGCUCCUCUUUCAAAGUACCAAUCACCUACCACCUCUGCAAUUUUCUGGAACUCUACAAUGUUAGCCAAAGCACCACCUAAGGCUAAAAUACAGCUCGUGUGCUAAAAAAUUACAUGUACCUUGUUAUCUAUGGAUGGAGAAUUUGGUGCGAACCAUGUGUCCUGCAGCUCACUCUGGCAAUGCGCGAAGCAGGAGUUGAUGAACACCCCUGCCUUCGGUUUGCUUUCAGACUGUCUCAGAGAUGUCAACAUUCCACUUCUCAGUCCUGCCCAAAAAAAUCAAAAUCAAAAUUUGAAUCAUGCCAUAAAAACGGUAGCUUCAGUUUAGAACAUCGCAGAUGAUUGUUCAAUACAAUAUGAAUCUGUACCAUCUACUUACCAGAGAGUUAACCUUGGAGGGUUGCGAUCUGUGUUGCGCUGCAUCCACCAAGAUCUGACUUGCAGCGGCUCCAAUGGCCUCCAGGAUCAGACGAAGGCGAUGCCAGAAUGUGGCGGAACUGUCCGAAAAUUUCCAAACCAGAAUUAUUACUUGCCACCUGGUCCAGGUGCCGAAAACUAUAUUGAUCGAUCACAAGCCGCAUUUUACCCGAUAUACAUCAUAAGUUGAAUUCAAGAUGAAAACGGGGUUCGGAUGUUCGCAAGCGCAAACUGUGGAAAGAAACACUGCGCAGACAUGGAUCAUCAGAACCGGUGGACAUAUUGAGCUAUUAACUAAGUGAUGGAACAAGAUUGUUUUAUCAAGUAAAAGAAAACAUAACUCAAUGCCAAACCACCAGGAUUGUGCCAGACUGCACUUGCAUUGCCUGCUCUACCCACGGCCCAAAACCAUGAUAACCAAGUUAGAGGCCCAAUAGCUACACCUCAUGUGUCCUAGCAUUGUUAAAAAAUCAAUACUUGUAUCAUAUAUGCAGCAAACAUAAAACAAUUUGGAAUUCACUAUCCCAGGAAACAUGACAAAUUUGGUAAUAAUGAACUAACGUCACCAACUGCGCAUGAGAGCUGGACUUAAGUAAUCUCUUAGAUUAGUUAAGUACUUAAAUAUACACAUAGACGACAACAGAAAAUACCUGCUUCAACCAGCAUUCUUGAUGUUUGUGUUCAUAUUUGUCUGGCGAGUAGCAUCCAUACUCAGACGGACAGUAAACCCAAAUAUUACACUUUAAGGCUCCUGGUCUGGCCAUCUUAGCCUGGUCUAUACAGGCUUGACAGCAAUCUGCGGCACUUUCUUUGUGAUGUGUUAAGCCCCAUCUAACAGCAGUGCCACCAUAAUCAGUAUGCAGUUCAGUAUUGCAUUCAGGGGGCAAAGGUGGACCUGGUAUUAUCUCUUCAUUUGCAACAUUAGCAUCAAUCAAGAACCAUUAUUCAAUUGUCUCUUGGAGCAAUUUAAAAUUACUACACAAUUUGGUCACCAUUAAUGACCCAUAAGAUGUAAUCAACAAUGCUGGCAACAUAAGCAGCGUAAACGAAAUAACCUUCUGGUUCAUUCUCAGGUUUGUCAUCAUGUUCGAUAUGAUAUAUAGUGGGAGGUAUCCAAAGACCAAUGUCCUCCAAUAGCAUUUGCCAGUUAAACUCCAAGGCUCGCUUUAACAUCCCUAAAUAUCGAACCAGAUGGCAUUAUAAUUGUUAACAAAAUAAAAAAAGUAUAAAUAUGUCAUCAUAGCAACUUCAAGUAAGCUCCCGUAGUCCCGUAUUUGAAUCUUCACUGGAGAGGCCAAAAUUUGAUAAAUUCUUAGAAGAUGUACUUCUCAUGUCCUUGAGCUUCCCAACACGCCAUGCUUCUAUAGCUUCUGGCAUAUAUUAGAAAACGAAGGGAAAAUAUUUUAUUUUAGGUUAGUAAACAUCUCAUUACAGUUCACGCUUAUUCCAAAAUACGCCUUACAAAGAAGUAAGCGCAAACAAACUCAUAUGCUAUCCCUGGGUGCUGACAUACAAACCUUGUUGUUCCGUGGUAUUAGAACCUACUCUAGAUUCACACCAAUUUCCCACAACCUCUGAACUACUCUAGAUUCACACUAAUUUCCAAACCAGAGAAUCUAAGUCCAUGAAUGUAUUUAAAUGCCUCCAUCUAUUAUGAAAUAAAAUAGGACACAAAAAUAUAUUGAAUGUACAUGUAAACAGAUCUUAGUGAAAGCUUAAUGAGCUCACCUAUCGGCUGCCCUUAGCAGCUGUAGCAGAGACAGACAUCAUCACCCGCCUUGUGAUGAAGCUCCAGGAGGAGCUCCGCGUUCAAAGGUGCAUAUAGCUCACUAAAAAAUAUUGGGCAUGCAACUAAGGCAAAUUCGUUAUGGGAAAAUUCAAAAUUAUUCUAAAUAACUUUGGACAUUUGUUUUCACACCGUUGGAGUACUAUACCACACAUCGCAGUCAUGGAUGUGUGAUGUAUACAACUAUGCACACUGGCCAUAUAUGUCAUUUUAAUUCUCUUUUGAUUUGCCUUAAACAAUGGUUGUGAUAUAAUGUUAUGUCAUGUCAUCGCCGUGCAUCUUCCCUCCAUUCACUGAACAAUUGACUAAAAUAAGGCCUUAUAUCUCCAGCUCAAAGAUUUGGUCAUGAUUCUAGUCUUGAGCACAUGCUUGCCUCCCUGACAAUGAUCUGGCCAUGAUACUACUACCCAAACAAGUGAACAAAUAGUCUACGCAAAGUUAUUCCAUAAAUCCUACUACCUAUGAAAUCCACUACAGUUCGUUGCUAUUUUUAACAAGUAAUUGAGAUUACUAUGUUUCUUCUACUAUACAAUAUGCGAAACUGGUUGUGCCAUCCCUAAUUCCUGCAAGUUACAAUACAAUUUUCAGAACACUCACCACACAGAGCGCUCCGAUGACCUUGUCAUUAUAUGUCUCAGGGUCAUAUGCCUGCAUCUCUAGCAAAUCGUUGCCAUCGUCUUCCCUUGCUCCCUCCUAGAUAUUUGUCACAGUCGCCUGGUGCCCAUCGAUAAGCCACUGUGCCCACCUGUUCUGCACGUUGGACAGCCUUAUCACGCGCUUGUUCACACCGCUAAUGUCCACCUUGAUAAAUUCAUCUACAAGCUAAUAGUGGUAAAGUUCAUACAAGGGUUUCAAUGACGAAGUCAGCGCGUCGAUCGACAGCCUCGGGUCGUCCCCUGCGAGACGUGGAGAUCGGGAGAGCAUCACAGCGAGGCGGCGUCCGGGCAUCGCGUAGUACCUCUACAAAACUGUAGUGAAAAAAUACAUACACCAAAAAAUUAAAUCAAUGGUAAUAUAUCGUCCACCACACCAAGCCCCACCCCACGUCCCAACCUCAACCCAAAAAACUUGGUAAAUUGUACAACAGAAUCGUGAUCUCUCUUCCAGCCUACAGAAAUAAGUACAAGCAUGGAACACUACCAGCACAAAACGGAAAAAUGGACUAACCUACCAUCUGUGGUGUCCCGGGAGCCAUCCAAUGAAGAAUUUCCUGAAAUUACCAAACCAAAGGCCAACCAAUCAGACCGAUUAAUCCAGAUCCAGUCGUAAAUUAAAGAGAGAGGGGCACUAGAAAUUUAUACCUCGGGUUGCAGCUGCCACCGCCGCCACCCGAGGUCCCAGAUGGCGCGGAGAUGGCCGGUGUCGCGGAUGGCAUGGAGACAUCUGGCUACGCGAGGAUACACAACGAUGCUGGAGCGGCUGACGCGUGGAAGAUGCAAUCCGCUCGCGGCGCGGAGGUGAGCGUACGCGCGGAGGAUGGAAAGGCAGCAGGCAUGGAGGCGGCUGACCUGGACACCACAGUGCAUGAUGGCGUACUUAUCGACGUCCAACACCCGCUCCUCCCAGGCGCAGGCAGAUUUUUUAGGGUGAAGCGUCGAGCGAGUGUGCGUCGGCCACCGGCUCGCUCGAUGGGCGCGACACGACAGCACUGCGCCGGCGGUCGGGAGAGAGGCCACGGAGGCGCGGGUCGGGGACGGCAUCGGGCCGCACAUCGACGCCGACAACGGAGCUCCUCCGCCGUCGUCCCUCCCGCUCAGACCUAGGCGUCGUGACCGGGAGGUGGGGGUUGAGAAGGACGGCGGCGACGCAGGUCUGGGCCGUACGGAACCGCGCUUCGACGUCGAGAACGACACUCUUCUGCCAUGGUCCCUCUCGCUCGAACCCAAGCAUCGUCGAAGGGGCGGUAGUUGUGGCAUCGAUUACAGUUCUGAGAUGCGAGGAUGGGGCGGUUGCGACUGCGAGAUACGGGGAUGGGGCAGGCGCGGAUCGGUCGCGAGAUUAGCGGGGGGUGGGGGGAGGGCGAGGGCAGAGGCGUGGAUCACGCGGCUCCGAUGUCCCCGCUGGUGACGGUUGCUGCGGGGAUGCGGAGACGGGGCGGGCGCGGAUCGACGGGGGCGCGACUGCAAGACGCGGGGACGGGGCGGGCGCGGAUCAGCCGCGAGAUUAGCGGUGUGGGGGGGGGGGGGGGGCGGAGCCACGGUGGUGUGGACGCCCUCCUUACCCUCUUAUGGAGUAGUAGAGAUAAACAACAUGACAAGUGAACUGAUGAUUUUCAAGUAGUUCACAUGAUGCAAAGUUGUUUGGACUGAGGAUCUAAGGACGUAACACCUCAAAAGAAAACCUAAAAGACACAUAGAAGCCUCACAAAUAUUCAGCACAAAGUCCAAGACACAAGACCAAAAGAGCACAAGCGAAAAGACUGAAGAAAUCCAGAACUAGGCUUCCAGCUGGCGCACCGGACUGGUCCGAUGGUGCACCAGACCGUGUGCACAGAGAGCUCUGCCAAUAGCUCUCGGGCUACUGGCUAACCGGAUCGGUCCAAUGGUGCACUGAACCGAGGUCCAACAACUAGUCUCCAGCGGUCGUCUAAUGUGAUGGCCCCUAGAUCUUGCGGGUGGCACACCAGACCGGCUACAGUACUGUUAGAGGCCCAACGGCUAGCAGACAUAGAGGGUCCGGACCUGUGGUCAGGUGUGCCAUAGACAGAAAAGUCUACUUUUCUUCCAACGUCUAGAAUUGGAUGGGGCUCUAUAAAUACCCUCUAACCGGCCAUUUGAAUGUGUGGGAGCCCAAGCAACAUACCAACACAUGUGAUACACAUCUCCACGGCUUCAAACACCCAAGUGCUUAAUAGAAUCACUCGGUGAUUAGCAUAGGUGCUUUGCGAAGUGAUUAGGUUAGUUAGACUGCUAUUGCGCUUGCUUUAGGUUGUUCCUAGUUAGUUAAGUGAGUUUAGAGAAACUAACAAAACCACUCGGCUCUUGCACGAGCCGUUGUAAUUGUAUCGAGUGGGGCAGGAGUCUUCCGAGACCGUAUCAACCGUGUUUGUGGUGCGGCCACCACCGUGUACCAGAGGGAAUGAUGCCCGUGGUGAGUUGACCAGAAGCUCGAUAGUAGAGACGACGGGGAGCAUCCGAGGAAACGAAAGCGAAGCACCACUUGCGUGUGGAGAAGGUCCACGGCUCUCUACAAAGUUAUUCGACCAUGAUGCUUGGCCCUCACGUGGGCUACCCAUUGUGUAAGGGCACCUGAUAGUCGCCUAGAGGGGGGGGGUGAAUAGGGCGAAACUGAAAUUUACAAAUAUAAACACAACUACAAGCCGGGUUAGCGUUAGAAAUAUAAACGAGUCCGCGAGAGAGGGGGCAAAACAAAUCGCAAGCAAAUAAGGAGAGUGACACGCGGAUUUGUUUUACCGAGGUUCGGUUCUUGCAAACCUACUCCCCGUUGAGGAGGCCACAAAGGCCGGGUCUCUUUCAACCCUUCCCUCUCUCAAACGGUCCCUCGGACCGAGUGAGCUUUCCUUCUUCUCAAUCAACCGGGAACAAAACUUCCCCGCAAGGGCCACCACACAAUCGGUGCCUCUUGCCUUGGUUACAAUUGAGUGUUGAUCACAAGAGCAAAAGAGAAAGAAAGAAUGCGAUCCAAGCGCAAGAGCUCAAAUGAAUACGGCAAAUCACUCUCACUAGUCACUUAGGGUUUGUGUGGAAUUGGAGAGGAUUUGAUCUCUUUGGGUGUGUCUAGAAUUGAAUGCCUAGCUCUUGUAAGUGGUUGAGAAGUGGAAAACUUGGAUGGCAAUGAAUGUGGGGUGGUUGGGGUAUUUAUAGCCCCAACCACCAAAUGUGGCCGUUGCUGGGAGCUCUCUGUUCGAUGGCGCACCGGACAGUCCGGUGCACACCGGACAGUCCGGUGCCCCUGCCACGUCAUCACUGCCGUUGGAUUCUAGCCGUUGGAGCUUCUGACUUGUGGACCCGCCUGGGUGUCCGGUGCACACCGGACAUGCACUGUUUGAUGUCCGGUGCACCGGUAUGGGCAGCCCUGACGUCUGCGCGCGCUGCGCGCGCAUUUAAUGCUGCGCAGAGAGCCGUUGGCGCCGCAGAGAGCCGUUGCUCCGCUGUCACACCGGACAGUCCGGUGCACACCGGACAGUCCGGUGAAUUUUAGCGGAGCGGCUGCCGCGCGAACCCGAGGCUGGCGAGUUCAGGAGGCCGAGCUUCCUUGGAGCACCGGACAUGUCCGGUGCACACCGGACAGUCCGGUGAAUUAUAGCACGCCGGCUUCCGAGAAUUCCCGAGAGUGAAGAGUUGGAGUCUGAGUCCCCUGGUGCACCGGACAGGUACUGUUUACUGUCCGGUGGCACACCGGACAGUCCGGUGCGCCAGACCAGGGGUGCCCUCGGUUGCCCCUUUGCUCCUUUAUUGAAUCCAACACUUGAUCUUUUUAUUGGCUAGAUGUGAACCUUUUGCACCUGUAUAACUUAUACACUAGAGCAAACUAGUCAGUCCAAUAUUUGUGUUGGGCAAUUCAACCACCAAAAUUAUUUAGGAACUAGGUGUAAGCCUAAUUCCCUUUCAAUCUCCCCCUUUUUGGUGAUUGAUGCCAACACAAACCAAAGCGAAUAUAGAAGUGCAUAAUUGAACUAGUUUGCAUAAUGUAAGUGAAAAGGUUACUUGGAAUUGAGCCAAUAUAACUACUUACAAGAUAUGCAAGGAAUGUUUCUUUCUUAUAUAACAUUUUGGACCACGUUUGCACCACAUGUUUUGUUUUUGCAAAUUCUUUUUGUAAAUCCAUUUCAAAGAUCUUUUGCAAAUAGUCAAAGGUACAUGAAUAAGAGUUUGCAAAGCAUUUUCAAGAUUUGAAAUUGUCUCCCCUUAUUUCAAAUGCUUUUCCUUUGACUAAACAAAACUCCCCCUAAAAGAGAUCCACCUCUUAGUGUUCAAGAGGGUUUUGAUAUACCAUUUUUUGAAAUACUACUUUCUCCCCCUUUUGAACACAAUAGGAUACCAAAUGAUAAAGACUUUUGGAAAGCACUAAGUUUUUGAAUUUGGUGGUGGUGGUGCGGUCCUUUUGCUUUGGGCUCAUUUCUCCCCCUUUUUGGCAUGAAUCGCCAAAAACGGAAUCAUUAGAGCCCUCUAAGUGCUAUCUUCCCCUUUGGUCAUAAAAUAAAUGAGUUAAGAUUAUACCAAAAAGCGAAGCUUUUGAGCUUUUACUCUCUUCCCCAGGGAUGAAGUUCUUUUCUUUGAUGCUCAUUUCUCCCCCAAAGAAGAGAGAGUUGCUCGGAGUGUUGGCGAAGUAUGAGUUACGGAGUGGAAGCCUUUGUCUUCGCCGAAGACUCCAAUUCCCUUUCAAUAUACCUAUGACUUGGUUUGAAAUAACCUUGAAAACUCAUUAGUCAUAGCAUAUAAAAGAGAUAUGAUCAAAGGUAUUCAAAAGAGCUAUGUGUGCAAGCUUAGCAAAAGAAAUUUCUAGAAUCAAGAAUAUUGAGCUCAUGCCUAAGUCUGGUAAAAGAUUGUUCAUCAAGUGGCUUGGUAAAGAUAUCGGCUAAUUGAUCUUUAGUAUUAAUGUAAGAAAUCUCGAUAUCCCCCUUUUGUUGGUGAUCCCUAAGAAAAUGAUACCGAAUGGCUAUGUGCUUAGUGCGGCUAUGCUCGACGGGAUUGUCGGCCAUUUUGAUUGCACUCACAUUAUCACAUAGCAAAGGGACUUUGGUUAAUUUGUAACCGUAGUCCCGCAGGGUUUGCCUCAUCCAAAGCAAUUGCGCGCAACAGUGACCUGCGGCAAUAUACUCAGCUUCGGCGGUGGAAAGAGCGACCGAAUUUUGCUUCUUUGAAGCCCAUGACACCAAGGAUCUUCCCAAGAACUGGCAAGUCCCCGAUGUGCUCUUCCUAUUGAUCUUGCACCCUGCCCAAUCGGCAUCCGAAUAACCAAUCAAAUCAAAUGUGGAUCCCCGAGGGUACCAAAGCCCAAACUUAGGAGUAUAAGCCAAAUAUCUCAAGAUUCGUUUUACGGCCGUAAGGUGGGAUUCCUUAGGGUCGGAUUGGAAUCUUGCACACAUGCAAACGGAAAGCAUAAUGUCCGGUCGAGAUGCACAUAAAUAAAGCAAUGAACCAAUCAUCGACCGGUAUACCUUUUGAUCCACGGACUUACCUCCCGUGUCGAGGUCGAGAUGCCCAUUAGUUCCCAUGGGUGUCUUGAUGGGUUUGGCAUCCUUCAUCCCAAACUUAGCAAGAAUGUCUUGAGUGUACUUCGUUUGGCUAAUGAAGGUGCCCUCUUGGAGUUGCUUGACUUGGAAUCCUAGAAAAUACUUCAACUCCCCCAUCAUCGACAUCUCGAAUUUCUGUGUCAUGAUCCUACUAAACUCUUCACAUGUAGACUCGUUAGUAGACCCAAAUAUAAUAUCAUCAACAUAAAUUUGGCAUACAAACAAGUCAUUUUCAAGAGUUUUAGUAAAGAGUGUAGGAUCGGCCUUGCCAACUUUGAAGCCAUUAGCAAUAAGGAAAUCUCUUAGGCAUUCAUACCAUGCUCUUGGGGCUUGCUUGAGCCCAUAAAGCGCCUUAGAGAGCCUAUAGACAUGAUUAGGAUACUCACUGUCUUCAAAGCCGGGAGGUUGCUCAACAUAGACCUCUUCCUUGAUCGGUCCAUUGAGGAAGGCACUUUUCACGUCCAUUUGAUAGAGCUUAAAGCCAUGGUAAGUAGCAUAGGCCAAUAAUAUGCGAAUUGACUCAAGCCUAGCUACGGGUGCAUAGGUUUCACCGAAAUCCAAACCUUCGACUUGUGAAUACCCUUUGGCUACGAGUCGAGCUUUGUUCCUUGUCACCACACCAUGCUCAUCUUGCUUGUUGCGGAAGACCCAUUUGGUUCCUACAACAUUUUGGUUAGGACGUGGAACUAAAUGCCAGACCUCAUUCCUCGUGAAAUUGUUGAGCUCCUCUUGCAUCGCCACCACCCAAUCCGAAUCUUGGAGAGCUUCCUCUACCCUGUGUGGCUCAAUAGAGGAAACAAAAGAGUAAUGUUCACAAAAAUGAGCAACCCGAGAUCGAGUAGUUACCCCCUUAUGAAUGUCGCCGAGGAUGGUGUCGACGGGGUGAUCUCGUUGUAUUGCUUGGUGGACUCUUGGGUGUGGCGGUCUUGGUUCUUCCUCAUCCUCCUGUUCUUGAUCAUUUGUAUCUCCCCCUUGAUCAUUGCUAUCAUCUUGAGGUGGCUCGUCUUCUUGAUUUUGCUCUUCAUCAUUUUGAGCCUCAUCCUCAUUUUGAGUUGGUGGAGAUGCUUGCAUGGAGGAGGACGGUUGAUCUUGUGUACUUGGAGGCUCUUCUGAUUCCUUAGGACACACAUCCCCGAUGGACAUGUUCCUUAGCGCGAUGCAUGGAGCCUGUUCUUCACCUAUCUCAUUAAGAUCAACUUGCUCUACUUGAGAGCCGUUAGUUUCAUCAAACACAACGUCACAAGAGACUUCAACUAGUCCAGUGGACUUGUUAAAGACCCUAUAUGCCCUUGUGUUUGAGUCAUAACCAAGUAAAAAGCCUUCUACAGUUUUAGGAGCAAAUUUAGAUCUUCUACCUCUUUUAAUAAGAAUGAAGCAUUUGCUACCAAAAACUCUAAAAUAUGAAAUGUUGGGCUUUUUGCCGGUUAGGAGUUCAUAUGAUGUCUUCUUGAGGAUUCGGUGAAGAUAUAACCGGUUGAUGGCGUAGCAGGCGGUGUUGACCGCUUCGGCCCAAAACCGGUCCGGUGUCUUGUACUCAUCAAGCAUGGUUCUUGCUAUGUCCAAUAGAGUUCGAUUCUUCCUCUCCACUACACCAUUUUGUUGUGGCGUGUAGGGAGAGGAGAACUCAUGCUUGAUGCCCUCCUCCUCAAGGAAGCUUUCAAUUUGAGAGUUCUUGAACUCCGUCCCAUUGUCGCUUCUUAUUUUCUUGAUCCUUAAGCCGAACUCAUUUUGAGCCCGUCUCAAGAAUCCUUUUAAAGUCUCUUGGGUUCGAGAUUUUUCCUAUAAAAAGAAUACCCAAGUGAAGCGAGAAUAAUCAUCCACUAUUACAAGACAAUACUUACUCCCGCCGAUGCUUAUGUAGGCAAUCGGGCCGAAUAGAUCCAUGUGGAGUAGCUCAAGCGGCCUGUCGGUCGUCAUGAUGUUCUUGUGUGGAUGAUGGACUCCAACUUGCUUCCCCGCCUGGCAUGCGCUACAAAUCCUGUCUUUCUCAAAAUGAACAUUUGUUAAUCCUAAAAUGUGUUCUCCCUUUAGAAGCUUAUGAAGAUUCUUCAUCCCAACAUGGGCUAGUCGGCGGUGCCAGAGCCAACCCAUAUUAGUCUUAGCAAUUAAGCAAGUGUCGAGUUCAGCUCUAUCAAAAUCUACCAAGUAUAGCUGACCCUCUAACACUCCCUUAAAAGCUAUUGAAUCAUCACUUCUUCUAAAGACAGUGACACCUAUAUCAGUAAAAAGACAGUUGUAGCCCAUUUGACAUAAUUGGGAAACAGAAAGCAAGUUGUAGUCUAAGGAAUCAACAAGAAAAACAUUGGAAAUAGAAUGGUCAGGAGAUAUAGCAAUUUUACCAAGUCCUUUGACCAAACCUUGAUUUCCAUCCCCGAAUGUGAUAGCUCGUUGGGGAUCUUGGUUUUUCUCAUAUGAGGAGAACAUUCUUUUCUCCCCGGUCAUGUGGUUUGUGCACCCGCUAUCGAGUAUCCAACUUGAGCCCCCGGAUGCAUAAACCUACAAAACAAUUUUAGUUCUUGACUUUAGGUACCCAAACGGUUUUGGGUCCUUUGGCAUUAGAAACAAGAACUUUGGGUACCCAAACACAAGUCUUGGAGCCCUUGUGUUUGCCCCCAACAAAUUUGGCAACUACCUUGCCGGAUUUGCUAGUAAGCACAUAAGAUGCAUCAAAAGUUUUAAAUGAAAUGGCAUGAUCAUUUGGUGCAUUAGGAAUUUUCUUCUUAGGCAACUUAGCAUGGGUUGGUUGCCUAGAACUAGAUGUCUCACCCUUAUACAUAAAAGCAUGAUUAGGGCCAGAGUGAGACUUCCUAGAAUGAAUCUUCCUAAUUUUGCUCUCAGGAUAGCUGGCAGGGUAUAAAAUGUAACCCUCGUUAUCCUGAGGCAUGGGAGCUUUGCCCCUGACAAAGUUAGACAAGUUCUUAGGAGGGGCAUUAAGUUUGACAUUGUCUCCCCUUUGGAAGCCAAUGCCAUCCUUGAUGCCAGGGCGUCUCCCAUUAUAAAGCAUGCUACGAGCAAAUUUAAAUUUCUCAUUUUCUAAGUUGUGCUCGGCAAUUUUAGCAUCUAGUUUAGCUAUAUGAUCAUUUUGUUGCUUAAUUAAAAUCAUGUGAUCAUGAAUAGCAUCAAUAUCAACAUUUCUACAUCUAGUACAAAUAGAUACAUGCUCAGCAAUAGAUGUAGAGGGUUUGCAAGAUUCUAAUUCUACAACCUUAGCGUGCAGCAUAUCAUUUUUAGUUCUAAGGUCAGAAAUUGUAACAUUGCAAACAUCUAGUUCUUUAGCCUUAGUAAUCAACUUUUCAUUUUCUACUCUAAGGCUAGCAAGAGAAAUGUUCAAUUCUUCAAUCCUAGCAAGCAAAUCAUCAUUAUUAUCUCUAGGAGUGGAAAUUGAAACAUCACAAACAUGAGAAUCAACCUUAGCAUUUAAAAUAGCAUUUUCAUUCCUAAGGUUGUCGAUUAUUUCACGGCAAGUGCUUAGCUCACUAGAUAAUUUUUCACAUUUUUCUACUUCUAGAGCAUAAGCCUUUUUAACCUUAACAUGCUUCUUGUUUUCUUUAAUUAGAUAAUCCUCUUGGGAAUCCAAAAGGUCAUCCUUUUCAUGAAUAGCACUAACCAAUUCAUUUAAUUUUUCUUUUUGAGCUAUGUUAAGGUUGGCAAAAAGGGAACGUAAAUUAUCUUCCUCAUCACUAGCAUUGUCAUCACUAGAGGAUUCAUAUUUAGUGGAGGAUUUAGAUUUAACCUUCUUUUUGCCGUCCUUUGCCAUGAGGCACUUGUGGCCGACGUUGGGGAAGAGGAGUCCCUUGGUGACGGCGAUGUUGGCGGCGUCCUCGUCGUCGGAGGAGUCGCUUGAGCUCUCGUCGGAGUCCCACUCGCGACAAACAUGGGCAUCGCCGCCCUUCUUCUUGUAGUACCUUUUCUUCUCCUUUCUUCUCCCCUUCUUGUCGUCGCCUCGGUCACUGUCACUGGAUAUGGGACAUUUAGCAAUAAAAUGACCGGGCUUACCACACUUGUAGCAAACCUUCUUGGAGCGGGACUUGUAAUCCUUCCCCCUCCUUUGUUUGAGGAUUUGGCGGAAGCUCUUGAUGACGAGCGCCAUCUCCUCAUUGUCAAGCUUGGAGGCGUCUAUUGGUUGUCGACUUGGUGUAGAUUCCUCCUUCUUUUCUUCCGUCGCCUUGAAUGCAACGGGUUGACCUUCGGAUGGGUCACCAAGCUCGUUGAUUUUCCUCGAGCCUUCUAUCAUGCACUCAAAACUUACAAAAUGCCCGAUAACUUCCUCGGGGGUCAUUUUAGUAUAUCUAGGAUUACCACGAAUCAAUUGAACUUGAGUGGGAUUUAGAAAAAUGAGAGAUCUUAAAAUAACAUUUACCACUUCGUGGUCAUCCCACUUCUUGCUCCCGAGGUUGCGCACUUGGUUUACCAAAGUCUUGAGUCGGUUGUACAUGUGUUGUGGCUCCUCCCCUUUGUUGAGCCGGAACCGACCGAGCUCCCCCUCGAUCGUUUCCCGCUUGGUGAUCUUUGUGAGCUCAUCUCCCUCGUGCGCGGUUUUGAGUACAUCCCAAAUCUCCUUGGCGUUCUUCAACCCUUGUACUUUGUUAUACUCCUCUUUACUUAGAGAGGCGAGGAGUAUUGUUGUUGCUUGAGAGUUGAAGUGCUCGAUUUGGGCCACCUCAUCCUCAUCAUAGUCCUCAUCCCCUACGGAUGGUACCUGCGCGCCAAACUCAACAACAUCCCAUAUGCUUUUGUGGAGCGAGGUUAGAUGAAAUCGCAUUAAAUCGCUCCACCUAGCGUAAUCUUCACCAUCAAAAGUUGGUGGUUUGCCUAAUGGGACGGAAAGUAAAGGUGUAUGUUUGGAAAUGCGAGGGUAGCGUAGGGGGAUCUUACUAUACUUCUUUCGCUCUUGGCGCUUAGAAGUGACGGAGGGCGCAUCGGAGUCGGAGGUAGAAGUUGAUGAAGUGUCGGUCUCGUAGUAGACCACCUUCCUCAUCCUCUUGUGCUUGUCGUCUUUCCGAUGCGGCUUGUGGGAAGAAGAUUUUUCCUUCUUCUCUUUGUGGUGAGGAGAAGAUUUCUUCUCCUUCCCUUUGUUGGAGGAGCUCUUCUUCUUCUCCCUCCUUUUGGUGCGGGACUCUUCCGAUGAAGUGCUCCCGUAGCUUGUAGUGGGCUUUUCGCCGGUCUCCAUCUCCUUCUUGGCGUGAUCUCCCGACAUCACUUCGAGCGGUUAGGCUCUAAUGAAGCACCGGCUCUGAUACCAAUUGAUAGUCGCCUAGAGGGGGGGUGAAUAGGGCGAAACUGAAAUUUACAAAUAUAAACACAACUACAAGCCGGGUUAGCGUUAGAAAUAUAAACGAGUCCGCGAGAGAGGGGGCAAAACAAAUCGCAAGCAAAUAAGGAGAGUGACACGCGGAUUUGUUUUACCGAGGUUCGGUUCUUGCAAACCUACUCCCCGUUGAGGAGGCCACAAAGGCCGGGUCUCUUUCAACCCUUCCCUCUCUCAAACGGUCCCUCGGACCGAGUGAGCUUUCCUUCUUCUCAAUCAACCGGGAACAAAACUUCCCCGCAAGGGCCACCACACAAUCGGUGCCUCUUGCCUUGGUUACAAUUGAGUGUUGAUCACAAGAGCAAAAGAGAAAGAAAGAAUGCGAUCCAAGCGCAAGAGCUCAAAUGAAUACGGCAAAUCACUCUCACUAGUCACUUAGGGUUUGUGUGGAAUUGGAGAGGAUUUGAUCUCUUUGGGUGUGUCUAGAAUUGAAUGCCUAGCUCUUGUAAGUGGUUGAGAAGUGGAAAACUUGGAUGGCAAUGAAUGUGGGGUGGUUGGGGUAUUUAUAGCCCCAACCACCAAAUGUGGCCGUUGCUGGGAGCUCUCUGUUCGAUGGCGCACCGGACAGUCCGGUGCACACCGGACAGUCCGGUGCCCCUGCCACGUCAUCACUGCCGUUGGAUUCUAGCCGUUGGAGCUUCUGACUUGUGGACCCGCCUGGGUGUCCGGUGCACACCGGACAUGCACUGUUUGAUGUCCGGUGCACCGGUAUGGGCAGCCCUGACGUCUGCGCGCGCUGCGCGCGCAUUUAAUUCUGCGCAGAGAGCCGUUGGCGCCACAGAGAGCCGUUGCUCCGCUGUCACACCGGACAGUCCGGUGCACACCGGACAGUCCGGUGAAUUUUAGCGGAGCGGCUGCCGCGCGAACCCGAGGCUGGCGAGUUCAGGAGGCCGAGCUUCCUUGGAGCACCGGACAUGUCCGGUGCACACCGGACAGUCCGGUGAAUUAUAGCACGCCGGCUUCCGAGAAUUCCCGAGAGUGAAGAGUUGGAGUCUGAGUCCCCUGGUGCACCGGACAGGUACUGUUUACUGUCCGGUGGCACACCGGACAGUCCGGUGCGCCAGACCAGGGGUGCCCUCGGUUGCCCCUUUGCUCCUUUAUUGAAUCCAACACUUGAUCUUUUUAUUGGCUAGAUGUGAACCUUUUGCACCUGUAUAACUUAUACACUAGAGCAAACUAGUCAGUCCAAUAUUUGUGUUGGGCAAUUCAACCACCAAAAUUAUUUAGGAACUAGGUGUAAGCCUAAUUCCCUUUCAGCACCAACGAGGAUUAGUCAGAACCUUGCGCAGUUCAGUAUACCCCGGUAAAAAUAUCAGUGCGUCCACGAGAGUUUGUAAUCUAUAUCUUUGUUCUUUAGCUUCCACAUUUACAUUAAGUACUUAUGUUUCAAUCUCUUUAUUCCUAGUUUAGAAUACUUAGAAUUGGAACUUAGGUUGCAUAACUUUUUUUGUGAUAGAGAUAGCAACACUUAGACAAAACAUAAUUUGCACAUUCUUGUUUAAUUGUUUGCAUAGGUUUUUUCUCUAGGGAUUUAUUUGUGGCCUAUAUUAGCAAGAAUUUUAGAAGUCCUUCACCCCCUCCUCUUUGGCGUUUGUGUUCCUUUCAAUUGGUAUCGGAGCCCAAUUUGGCUCAUUUGGAAUGUUUUAGCUUCACCGCUAAUCGAGCUGAUGCCUUUUUGAGGAAGGGUAUGGAUACCCAUAGGCCACCACACUUUGAUGACACUAACUUCCCUUAUUAUAGUGCUAAAAUGACUUGUUACCUAGAAGCAUUGAUCUAGGUGUUUGGAGUGUCACUCGCGACGCGAUGAAACCCCCUAAGAAUCCUGAGAAACUCGCUGUGAGUGACAAAAAGGAAAUUCGUUUGAAUGCUAGAGCUAAAAAUUGCUUGUAUGGCUCUUAGCAUGUAUAUUUUCAAUCAAGUAUUUAUUUCGAAAAGUACUAAUGAGAUUUAGCUAAAAUUACAUGACCUCCAUGACGGCACAUCAAAUGUCCGUGAGCAAAAACAUUGCUUAGUCUUAAAUGGGUAAAAUUCUUUUACAAUGAAAAAAUGAGCUUGUUAGAUAUAUGUAUUCUUGUUUGAAUCUUAUCAUUAAUGUGUUUAGUUCUAUUGUAAUUAAUAUGCUAGGUGAUGCGAACAUUUUAAGGGAGAUCAUCUCCCUUCUACCAUGACGAAAAUAUGGGAGCAUCAUUACCAUCCUUCAUAACUUAGAGGACUUGAGCCAAAUGAUCCCGACACUCAUAAUUAGAAAGAUUGUGGCUUUUGAGAUGUCACAAAAGAUGGGUCAAGAGAAGGCCACUUCACCAACGCCAUAUGUUUUUGCAUGUGAUGAAAAGAAGAAAGGCAAGAAGAAGGCUCCUAGCUCAAGUUCCUCAAGCGAAGAAGAAGAGGAAGAUGAAGAUGAUGGUGAUGAUGAUGAAGAGACGAUCCGACGCGUUGGAAAGGUAAUGAGGAUGAUUCGCAAGAUUAAUCUUAUGGGUGUGCCCCUGCAGAUCAAGGAUCUUCUCUUUAACAUUGAUAGGAAAAAGCAAAUAGAUAGAGGAUGCUUCGUAUGUGGGGAUAAGGGCCACUUUCGGGAUAAUUGCCCAAAUACAACUGAACCCAAGAAAACGAGGAGCAAAUGCAAGGCGCUCACAAGUGUCAAGACUUGGGAUGACUCUUCAAGUGAAGAUGAACCUCCAAGGAGAUGUGACUAUGGCUCUUCAUCACGCUCUUCACGUUCUUCAUCACACAAAUGCCUUAUGGCAAGAGGUAACACAAGUAUUCCCCCUCUAAUGAUGAUAGUGAUAGCGAUGAUGAGGAUAAGCCCUCCGUAUAAGAACUUGUGCAUGCGAUUAACUUUUCUGAUGAUGUGUGCACUAAACAAAAGGCUCAAUUAAAACUGUUGAAAUCUAAGUUGCUUAGCUCUCAAGAUGAUUAUAAAAGUUUGCUAGAAAAAUUUGAAACGUUUGCAAAUUUGAAUUGUAAGCUAAUAACUAAAAUUGAGCCACUAUAGUCUAAAGCUCCAUCCUCAACUACCGAUGAUAGUUUGAUUAAAAAGAAUGAAAAACUUAAGGCUAAGUUAGCCAGCUCUCAAGAUGCUAUUGAAAAAUUGCUAGAGAAAAUGGAAAUUCUUAGCAUACAUAACAAUGAGCUAACUACUAAGCUAGAAAGCAUCGGUAGUACCCAGGAGCAUUUUUUGUCGAAAUCCUUGAAAUUGUUAAAAAGGAUGCUUCUAUGUCUUGCAUGGAUUUAAUUGAUAUUAACUCUAAUCCUUUCAGUCAAGUUGUGGUUAAGAAUGUUGUUGUAGAAACUUGUUUCGAUGAGAUUGCAAUGGAGAAUGAGCUAUUGAGGCAAGAAGUGGCUUGCCUAGGUAAGGUUUUGUAUGACAAGAAAGGCAAAGCCAAACAAACCCAACCUCCUCACGAUAACACCACCGCGGGAGUGAACAAGCCUGUGGACAGUGAAAUCGUGGUUUGUUGGCUAUGUCACAAGGAAGACCACAAGUCUUACCAAUGCAAGGCGAAGACCAGAGGAGAAAUGAAAAAGAAGCCAACAAGCAAAAUCUCCAACACCUACAUCAACAAGGUGGAUAAGAAGACGGCUACACCAUAUUUGAUCAAGAAAAAGAAUAGAAAGGUGAUAACCAUCAAGGCCAACAAGCAAGCCAACAAGGGAAAAGGGGCCAAACACAUCUAGGUACCAAAGGAAAUUAUUUCAAACAUCUAGGUACUCUAUGUUCCUUCCUUGAGGAGGAACUUAAUUCAAUUUUGAAAUUAGACGAUCAAGUUAUUCAUGGUCUCUUCGAUGAAAAACAACGUCUUGUUAAGUUUUAUAAUAAUGUGGGUCUCGCCAUUCGACGAGACAUGCUUUAUUUACUUUCGCAUUGUGAUAUUUUUAAUGAGUUAAACACAUCAGAAACUGAUCCAGUCAGUAAUGGUCGGAAACGAAAGUGAAACGAUGGAGAAUCCUCUUUAAAAUUAUGGCACUACUGUUUAGGCCAUAUUUCGAGGGGGGUAGAACGUCUCGUUAAGGAAGACAUUCUACAUCCCUAAGAUUUUUGAAAGUCGCCUAGAGGGGGGUGGAUAGGCGGAAACUGAAAUUUACAAACUUUAAGCACAAUACAAGCCGGGGUAGCGUUAGAAUAAAAUCCAAUUCCGGAAGAGAGGGGAAAACAAAUCAACCAAUAAAUAAAAGUGGAUGACAUGGUGAUUUGUUUUACCGAGGUUCGGUUCCAAAGAACCUAGUCCCCGUUGAGGUGGUCACAAAGACCGGGUCUCUUUCAACCCUUUCCCUCUCUCAAACGGUCACCUAGACCGAGUGAGCUUUCUCCUUAAUCAAACGGGUCACUUAGACCCCGCAAGGACCACUACAAACUUAGUGUCUCUUGCUUUGAUUACAAGUCACUUAGAGAACAAGAAUGAGGAAGAAGAAAGCCAACCAAGCAAACAAGAGCACAACAAAACACAAAUGAUCCUCUCACAAGUCUAAAUGCACUAGAGUUGAUUUUGAGACUUCGAGCGGAUCGAUCUCUUGGAUUGUGUCUUUGGAGUGGUGUCUAUUGCUCUUGUAUUGAAUGAGAAGGAGUGAAUGAUUGGAUCGGUUGGAGUGGAGGUGGUUGGGGUAUUUAUAGCCCCCAACCACCAAUUCAACCGUUGGGGGAAGGCUGCUGCCGAUGGGCGCACCGGACAGUCCGGUGCGCCACCGGACACUGUCUGGUGCGCCAGCCACGUCAUCCAUCCGUUAGGGUUCUGACGGUUUCGACCGUUGGAGCUUUGUCGUCUGGUGGCAUCGGACAGUCCGGUGCUGCACCAGACAUGCACUAUUCACUGCCCGGUGCGCCUUCUGGCGGCUGCUCUGACUCUGCGCGAACUGUCCGCGCACUAUUCACGUUGCAGACGGCCGUUGGAGUCGACCGUUGUGCUCGCUAGCCGUUGCUACGCUGGUGCACCGGACAGUCCGGUGAAUUAUAGCGGAGCGCUGCCUCAGAAACCCGAAGGUGAAGAGUUUGAGUCGAUCGUCCCUGGUGCACCGAACACUAUCCGGUGGUGCGCCGGACAGUCCGGUGCGCCAGACCAGGGUUCUAUUCGGUUUCUUUUGCUCCUUUCUUUUGAACCCUAACUUUGAUCCUUUUAUUGGUUUGUGUUGAACCUUUAGCACCUGUAGAAUAUAUAAUCUAGAGCAAACUAGUUAGUCUAAUUAUUUGUGUUGGGCAUUCAACCACCAAAAUCAUUUAUAGGAUAGGUUAAACCCUAUUUCCCUUUCAAUUUUAUAGACUUAGAACAAUGGAAAGACUGCAUUAAGGGUAAAUGUGCGAAGCAGAUUAAGAAAAAUGUCAAGCAUAGUACGAGAGUAUUAGAAACAAUUCAUACAGAUAUCUAUGGUCCUCUCCUAGUAAGAACAAUAGAUGGGUUUGAUUCAUUCAUAACAUUCAAAUAUGACUACCCUCAUUAGAUUACAUUUAUCCUAUUACGGAAAGGUUAGAGGCCUUAAACAAGUUUAAACAUUUCAAGGUAGAAGUUGAGAAUCAGCACAACCUGGAAAUAAAGAUAGUAAGAUUAUACCAUGGGAGGAGUGAAAGGGAAAUAUGGUUAAGCAUUUCCUAUAAUUAAUUUUGGUGGUUGAUAGUCAACACAAACACAUGGACUAACUAGUUUAUCUAGAAUUCAUGUAUUACAGGUGCAUAAGGUUCAACAUAAACCAACAAAAGAAAUCAAGUUAGGGACUCAAUUUGAAACGGAGCAAAGAACUUGAGUUUGCUGAAAAUUGGCGCACCGGACUGUCCGGUGCACCAGGGCCGUACAGUUGUCAACCAGCCACUCUCGAGAAAACGAAGGCGCACUCCGCUAUAAUUCAUCAGACUGUCCGGUGAGCCAGCGGAGCAACGGCUAUCUGCGUGCAACGGUCGACUCUAACGGAUGAAUAGUGUCACGGUAGAAGUCAGAGCAGGAAGUCAGAGGGGCACUGGACUAUCCGAUGUGGCGCCGGACUGUCCGGUGCCGCAAGAGGACAAAGCCUCCAACGGUCAACUGGCUCCAAACCCUAAUGGUAGGCUGACGUGGCGGCGCACCGGACAGCGCACAGUACCUGUUCGAUGGCGCACCGGACUGUCCGGUGCGCCCAUCGCGAGCAGCCUUGGCCAACGGCUACUAGGUGGUUGGGGGCUAUAAAUACCCCCAACCACCACAACAUUGGGAAUCCAAGUUUUUCAGAGAUCACAUUCAAUACAAGAGAUAGUGCAUUCACUCCAAGACAUAUUUCCAAAGAUCAAACCCUCUCCAAGCCUAGAAUCCAACUCAAACAUUUAGUGACUUGUGAGAGAGUGUGUUCGUGUUCUUUUGUGCUCUUGUUUCUUGGAUUGCCUUUCUUAUUUCUCAUUCUUGUUCUCAAGUGACUUGUAAUCAAAGCAAGAGACACCUAAGUGUGUGGUGGUCCUUGUGGGGUCUUAGUGACCCAAUUGAUUAAGGAGAAGGCUCACUCGGUCUAGGUGACCGUUUGAGAGAGAGAAAGGGUUGAAAUAGACCCGGUCUUUGUGACCUCCUCAACGAGGACUAGGUUCUUUGGAACCGAACCUCGGUAAAACAAAUCACCAUGUUCAUUCGCUUGAUUCUCAUUUGAUUUGUUUUCCCCCUCUUUGUCGGACUUGAAUUUACUUCUAACGCUAACCUUGGCUUGUAGUGUGUGCUUAAAGUUACAAAUUUCAGGUUAUGCCUAUUCACCCCCCUCUAGGCGACUUUCAAUUGGUAUCAGAGCCAGUGCUUCAUUAAGAGUCUAACAAACUCGAAGUGAUGUCUGGAGAUCACGCCAAGAGGGAGAUCAUGACCGGCGACAAGCCCGCAAGCUCGGGGAGAACCCUCUCAAGGGAGUCCGGCAACAAGCAUAAGGAGGAAUCCUCUUCCUCCAUCAAGUCACAUCAGAGAGGUGACAAGAAGAAGAUGGUCUACUACGAGACUGACUCUUCGUCACCCUCCACAACAAGCUCCGAGUCAUUCGUCACUUCUAAGCGCCAUGACCGCAAGAAGUAUAGUAAGAUGCCUCUUCGCUAUCCCCGUAUUUCAAAGCGUGCUCAAUUACUUUCCGUACCCCUAGGCAAACCACCAUAUUUUUAUGGUGAGGAUUUCUUUAUGUGGAGUGAUAAAAUGAGGCACCAUCUAACAUCACUCCACAAAAGUAUUUAGGAUAUUGUUGAGUAUGGAGCGUAGGUACCUCAAGUCGGGGAUAAAGACUAUGACUCGGACGAGGCCGCCCAAAUCCGGCACUUUAACUCCCAAGCAACUUCUAUACUCCUCGCCCCUUUAUGUCGAGAGGGGUAUAACAAGGUGCAAGGGUUAAAGAGCGCCAAAAAAAUUUGGGACGUCCUCAAGACCGCUCACGAAGGGGACGAGGUGACCAAGAUCACCAAGCGUGAAACGAUCGAAGGAAACUCAGUCGAUUCGUCCUCAACAAAGGAGAAGAGCCGCAGGCAAUGUACAACCGGCUAAAGACAAUGGUAAACCAAGUGUGCAACCUCGGGAGCACCAAAUGGGAUGACCAUGAAAUGGUCAAGGUUAUUCUAAGAUCCCUUGUUUUUCGUAAUCCUACUCAAGUUCAAUUAAUACGUGGGGAUCCUAGAUAUAAACUAAUGUCUCCCGAGGAGGUAAUUGGCAAGUUUGUGAGCUUUGAACUUAUGAUCAAAGACUCCAAACACAUUGUCAACUUGGAGCAAGGCGCCACCUCCACACCCGAGGUGCAACCCGUCGCAUUAAAAGCGACGGAAGAAGAGAAGGAGUCUACAUCAAGUAGGCUUCCAAUCGACGCCUACAAGCUCGACAACGAGGAAAUGGCACUCAUCAUCAAGAGUUUCUGCCAAAUCCUCAAGCAAAGGAGAGGGAAAGACUACAAGUCCCGCUCCAAGAAGGUGUGCUACCGGUGUGGUAAGUCCGAUCACUUUAUUGCUAAAUGUCCAAUUUCUAGUGAAAGUGACAGGGACGAGGACAAGAAGGGGAAGAAGGAGAAGAAGAGAUACAACAAGAAGAACGACGGCGAUACCCACAUAUGUCGAGAAUGGAACUCUAACGAGAGCUCCACCGACUCCUCCGACAACGAGGACGCCGCCAACAUCGUCGUCAACAAGGGCCUCCUCUUCCCCAACGUCAGCCACAAGUGUCUUAUGGCUAAGGACGACAAGAAGAAGAAGGUACACUCUAGAGCCACCCCAAAUAUACAACAUCUAGUGAUGAGGGUAGCUCUAGUGAUAGUGAAGAUAAUUUAAUGUCUCUCUUUGCCAACCUUAGCAUGGACUAAAAGAAAAAAUUAAAUGAAUUAAUUGAAGCCAUUAAUGAGAAGGAUGAACUCUUGGAUAACCAAGAGGACUUCCUCAUUAAAGAAAACAAAAAAUUUGUUAAACUGAAAAAUGCUUAAGCUCAGGAAGUAGACAAAUGUGAAAACUUAACUAAGGAGCUUAGCAUUUGUCAUGAUUUAAUUUCUAGUCUUAGAACUGAAAAUGCUAGUUUAGUUUCUAAGGUUAAAGAAUUGAAUGUUUGCAAUGAUUCUAUUUCCUGUCUUAGAGAUGAGAAUGCUAUUUUAAAUGCUAAGAUAGAAGAAUUAAAUAUUUGCAAACCCUCUACAUCUACUAUUGAGCAUGUUUCCAUUUGCACUAGAUGUAGAGAUAUUAAUAUUGAAGCUAUUGGUGAUCACCUUGUUAUGAUUAAAAAACAAAAUGAUCACAUAGCUACACUGAAUGCCAAAAUUAAUGAGCAUGAACUUGAAAAUGAAAAGUUUAAGUUUGCUUGAAGCAUGCUCUAUAAUGGGAGACACCCCGGCAUUAAGGAUGACAUUAGUUUCCAACAAGGGAGCAAUGUAAAGCUUAAUGCCCCUAAAAGUUUGUCUAAUUUUGUUAAGGGCAAGGCUCCCAUGGUUCAGGAUAGUGAAGGCUACAUUUUCUAUCACUAUCGUGAGCACAAAAUUAGGAAGAUUCAUGCUAGAAAACCUCAUACUAUUUCUCAUCAUGCAUUUAUGUAUAAAAAUGAGGCUUCUAGCUCUAGGCAUACCACAUAUUUUAAAAUGCCUAGAAAGAAAAUUCCUGCUGCAUCAAAUGAACACAAUGUUUCAUUUAAAACUUUUGAUGCAUCAUAUGUGCUUACUAACAAAUCAGGAAAAAUAGUUGUCAAAUAUGUUGGGGGCAAACACAAGAGUCCAAAGACUUGUGUUUGGGGUACCCAAGGUGCUUGUUUCUAACGUCAAAGGACCCAAGACUAUUUGGGUACAUAAGAAUAAGGCCUAAAAUUGUUUUGUGGGUUUAUGCAUCCGGUGGUUCAAGUUGGAUAAUCGAUAGCGGGUGUACAAACCACAUGACAGGGCAGAAAAGGAUGUUCUCCUCCUAUGAGAAAAAUGAAGAUCCCCAACGAGCUAUCACAUUCGGGGAUGGAAAUCAAGGUUUGGUCAAAGGUUUGGGUAAAAUUGCUAUAUCACCUGACCAUUCUAUUUCCAAUGUUUUUCUCGUAGAUUCUUUAGAUUACAAUUUGCUUUCUGUUUCUCAAUUAUGCAAAAUGGCUACAACUGUCUAUUCACUGAUAUAGGUGUUACUGUCUUUAGAAAAAAAUGAUGAUUCAAUAGCAUUUAAGGGAGUGUUAGAGGGUCAGCUAAAUUUAGUUGAUUUUAAUGAUAAUCAAGAUGAACUUGACACUUGCUUAAUUGCUAAGACUAAUAUGUGUUGGCUCUGGCAUCGCCGACUUGCCCAUGUUGGCAUGAAGAAUCUUCACAAGCUUCUAAAGGGAGAACACAUUUUAGGACUAAUCAAUGUUCAUUUUGAGAAAGACAGAGUUUGUAGCGCAUGCCAAGCAGGAAAGCAAGUUGGCGCUCAUCAUCCACACAAGAACAUAAUGACGACUGACAGGCCACUCGAGUUGCUCCAUAUGGAUCUAUUCGGUCCGAUCGCUUACAUAAGCAUCGACGGGAGUAAGUACUAUCUAGUUAUUGUGGAUGAUUACUCUCGCUUCACUUGGGUGUUCUUUUUGCAGGAAAAAUCACAAACCUAAGAGACCUUUAAAGGAUUCUUAAGACGGGCUCAAAACGAGUUUGGAUUAAGGAUCAAAAAGAUAAGAAGCGAUAAUGGGACGGAGUUCAAGAAUUCUCAAAUUGAAGGAUUUCUUGAGGAGAAGGGGAUCAAGCAUGAGUUCUCUUCUCCAUACACACCUCAACAAAAUGGUGUAAUGGUGAGAGCACCUAGAGGGGGUGAAUAGGUGAUCCUGUAAAAUUAAACACUAAAUAGCCACAAACUUGAUUACCAAGGUGUUAGUGAAAUCAAGUGGCUAAGGAACGCGCUCGUGUGAACAAAGCAAUCACAAUAAGCAACACACGAGACACGCGAUUUUUAUCCCGUGGUUCGGCCAAGUAACACUUGCCUACUUCCACGUUGUGGCGUCUCAAUGGACGAGGGUUGCACUCAACCCCUUUCAAGCGAUCCAAUGCUUAACUUGAAUACCACGGUCUUUUCCUUCAGAGUAUUUUUCCUGUUUGCGAGGAAUCUCCACAGUUUGGAGUCUCUCACCCUUACAAUAGAGAUCACAUAGAAAGCACAGAGUAAGGUUGGGAGAGCAACACACGCAAGACUCAAAUCCGCAGCACAACCACGCACACAAGUCACAACUUAUGCUUGAAACACAACACACGGAGUUCACAACUCAAAUGGAGCUCAAAAUGCUAACACAGAGAAUCAAAUGCGUGGAGUCGGAGUCUGGGAGUCUUAGAAUGUUUCUUGUAAGCUUGGUAUUUUCCUCCAUGCGCCUAGGGGUCUCUUUUAUAGCCCCAAGGCAGCUAGGAGUCGUUGGAGGCCAACUUGUAAGGCCAAACUUGCCUUCUGUCGGGCAGUCCGGUGCACCACCGGACAGUCACUGUAGCUGUCCGGUGCGCGAUCGCCUUCCAUAUCUGGUGCAUCCGACCGUUGGUCCUCGGGGUCGGUUAGCGCACCGGACACUGUCCGGUGCACACCGGACAGUCCGAUGUGCCUAACCGACCGUUGCUGCGGGCCACGCGUCGCACGUGGAUUGCGUAGCCGACCGUUGGCGCUGGCGACUAUUGGCUCACCGGACAGUCCGGUGCACCACCGGACAGUCCGGUGAAUUAUAGCUGUACGCCUCUGCUUUUUCCCAAGAGCAGCCGGUUCACUGCCGGCUAGCCUUACCGCCUGUCAGCCGCGAGCAGUAGGCCACGUGGCAGCAUCGGGUCUCCGCCUGGGCGGGGAGCAGGAGUGUAUGUGAUAAGGUCUGGAUCCCACCAGAUCAGGUCUAGAUAUGUGUCGGCACCAGACCCUCGCCUGGGUCCUGAUUGAGGCUCGGGUAUGUUCUGUCCUGGAACCCUGGGACCCCACUAUGGGCGGCCCAGACCCCAUACAGGGGGUCGGAAUCCCAUUCCAGGGGUUCGGUUCGCACACGUGGAGGUCUUGGACCAAACUUGGAGGCCCGGACCGUAUAUACAGGGGUCCGGCACCUUCCCAUUGGGGUCCGGACUCACUGGUGAUGCCUCAUAGUAUGUCACUUACUCUGGGCCAGCAACAACACCUGACCCGAGUGUCCGGUGCACCACCGGACAGUUUGGUGUGCCUGGCCAGAGUUGGUGUUGGCUGCACACAACCAACUCUUUUCCUUUUCUUUUCUUCUUCUUUUGUCACUGUUUCUAGCACUUAGACAAACACAUUAGUAUACACAAUAAUAUACUAAGUCUAGAAACAUAUCUUAUGCUUUGAUUUGCACUCUUCACACAUUUUGCACAUAAGAACUCAUUUAAUGUGUUGGGCAUCUAAUCACCAAAAUACUUAUAGAAAUGGCCCAGGGGCACAUUUCCCUUUCAAUCUCCCCAUUUUUGGUGAUUCAUGCCAACACAUCAAAACGCAACCAAAGAAGUGCAACAUCAAUGCAAUUGAAGACCAAAUUAUUUUUGCUAAUGAUUUUGGCAUAUUUGGAUCACUCUUUGCCACCACUUGGUUUGUUUUUGCAAAUCAAAUUCUUUUUCCUAUCUCUAAGUCAAACACACUUGUUUGAGCGAAUCGAGAGAUAUUCCAAGAGAAAAAUUUAUCAAGUGCCAAAAACUCCCCCUUUUUCCCAUAAUCAAAAUUCUCCCCCAUAAGAGACCAAAUUUUGCAAUAAGAGUAUUUUGAACAAAUCACAAAUUCUAACUCUACUAUUUUCAAAGUUCUCAAGUGGUUGGCUGAUCUAGUUGCUUUGGCCUUAAUUUCUCCCCCUUUGGCAUUAAGCACCAAAACAGAAUCAUUCUUGGCCCUUUAACCCCAUUGCCUCACCAAAAGAUGUCAAUUAAGAGCAAAAAGGCAAUGAGAUUGCAAGUAUGAACUUGGAAGUAAGUACACUAAUACCGGAGUGCAGUGGAAGUCUUUUCAUUGUCCAAGUUCACCUUUCCCUUUCAAUGCACCUUUGAGACUACAUCAAGUAUACUCAAACAAACAGGUUAGUCUCAAAGGGUCAAGUUGUAGCACAUCUCCCCCCUAAAUAUGUGCACCAUUUGCAUAUGGACUUGUGAGGUCCGGGGAGGUCUUGUACAACUUGAGCACCACAAAUAUACAACGAAUAAUGUAAAUGCUUAAAGUAACAUGAUCAAAGGCAUAGAACACAUGUAUGCUAUAGAUCAAUCCAGGUUACGCGAAUCUAAGACAUUUAGCUCACUACGCAACCUGCAAAAUGUUUUCUCAUCCAACGACUUGGUGAAGAUAUCGUCUAGCUGGUUCUCGGUGCUAAUAUGAAAGAUAUCGAUAUCUCCCUUUUGCUGGUGAUCCCUUAGGAAGUGAUACCAGAUGUCUAUGUGCUUAGUGCGGCAGUGUUCAACAGGAUUAUCCGCCAAGCGGAUUGCACUCUCAUUGUCACAUAGGAGUGGGACUUUACUCAGAUUGUAGCCAAAGUCCCGAAGGGUUUGCCUCAUCCAAAGUAGUUGCGCGCAACACUGUCCUACGGCAACAUACUCGGCCUCAGCUGUGGAUAGGGCAACGGAUGUCUGUUUCUUGGAACUCUAGUACACCAGGGACCUUCCUAGAAAUUGGCACGUCCCUGAUGUACUCUUCCUAUCAACCUUGCACCCGGCAUAAUCGGAGUCUGCGUAUCCUAUUAAGUCAAAGGUAGACCCCUUUGGAUACUAGAUCCCAAAGCACGGCGUAGCAACUAAAUAUCGAAGAAUUCGCUUAACGGCCACAAGGUGGCAUUCCUUGGGGUCGGAUUGAUAUCUAGCACACAUGCAUACACUAAGCAUAAUGUCCGGUCUACUAGCACAUAAAUAAAGUAAUGACCCUAUCAUGGACUGGUAUGCCUUUUGAUCAACAGACUUACCUCCUUUAUUGAGGUCGACAUGCCCGUCGGUUCCCAUCGGUGUCUUCGCGGGCUUGGCGUCCUUCAUCCCAAACCUCUUGAGGAGAUCUUGAGUGUACUUCGUUUGGGAGAUGAAGGUGCCGUCCUUGAGUUGCUUUACAUGGAAUCCAAGGAAGUAUGUCAACUCGCCCAUCAUCGACAUUUCGAACUUUUGCAUCAUCACCCUGCUAAACUCCUCACAAGACUUUUGGUUAGUAGAACCAAAUAUUAUGUCAUCGACAUAAAUUUGGCACACAAAGAGAUCACCAUCACAAGUCUUGGUAAAAAGAGUGGGAUCAGCUUUCCCAACCUUGAAAGCAUUAGCGAUUAGGAAAUAUCUAAGGCAUUCAUACCAUGCUCUUGGGGCUUGCUUAAGUCCAUAGAGCACCUUAGAGAGCUUAUACACGUGGUCGGGAUACCUGUCAUCCUCAAAGCCAGGGGGUUGUUCUACGUAUACCUCCUCCUUGAUUGGCACAUUGAGGAAAGCGCUCUUCACGUCCAUUUGAAACAGCCUAAAAGAGUGGUGAGCAGCAUAGGCUAACAAUAUUCGAAUUGACUCUAACCUUGCCACAGGAGCAAAAGUCUCCUCGAAAUCCAAAACUGCGACUUGGGCAUAACCUUUUGCCACAAGUCGAGCCUUAUUUCUCAUCACCACCCCGUGCUCGUCUUGCUUGUUGUGGAACACCCACUUGGUUCCCACAACGUUUUGCUUUGGACGUGGCACCAGAUUCCAGACUUCAUUCCUUUUGAAGUUGUUGAGAUCUUCCUGCAUGGCCAACACCCAGUCCGGAUCCUGCAAGGCCUCUUCUACCCUGAAAGGCUCAAUAGAAGAGACAAACGAUUAAUGCUCACAAAAAUUAGCUAAGCGUGAGCGAGUGGUUACUCCCUUGCUGAUGUCACCCAGAAUUUGAUCCACGGGGUGAUUUCUUUGGAUCGACGCUCGGACUUGAGUUGGAGGGACCUGUGGUGCUUCUUCCUCCAUAACCUGUUCUUCUUGUGCUCCCCUUGAUCACGCUCCUCUUCUUGAGGUACCUGUCCAUCAUCUUGAGUUGGGGGAUGCACCAGCGUCGAGGAAGAAGGCUGAUCUUGUUUCUGUAGUUCCUGUGGUCGCACAUCACCUAUUGCCAUCGUGCGUAUUGUGGUCGUUGGAACUUCAUCUUCAUCUAUAUCAAGAUCAACUUGCUCUCUUGGAGAGCCAUUAGUCUCAUCAAAUACAACGUCGCUAGAGACUUCAACUAAUCCUGAUGAUUUGUUGAAGACCCUAUACGCCUUUGUAUUUGUUUCAUACUCUAGUAAAAACCCUUCUACUGCCUUGGGAGCAAAUUUAGAAUGUCUACCUUUCUUUACCAGAAUGUAGAAUUUGCUCCCAAAUACACGAAAGUAAGAGACAUUGGUUUUGUUACCGGUAAGGAGUUCAUAAGAGGUCUUCUUGAGAAGGCGAUGCAGAUAGAGUCGGUUUAUGGCGUGGCAAGCUGUGUUCACAGCUUUUGACCAAAACCGCUCGGGCGUCUUGAACUCUCCAAGCAUCGUUCUCGCCAUGUCAAUAAGCGUCCUGUUCUUCCUCUCUACCACACCGUUUUGUUGUGGUGUGUAGGGAGCAGAGAACUCGUGCUUGAUGCCUUCCUCCUUAAGAAACUCUUCAACUUGUAGAUUAUUUAACUCGGACCCAUUGUCGCUCCUUAUCUUUUUCACCUUAAGCUCAAACUCAUUUUGAGCUCUCCUUAAGAAGCGCUUUAGGGUCCCUUGGGUUUCUGAUUUGUCCUGCAAAAAGAAUACCCAAGUGAAGCGGGAAAAGUCAUCAACAAUUACAAGACCAUACUUACUUCCCCCGAUGCUAAGGUAGGCAACGAGUCCAAAGAGGUCCAUGUGAAGAAGCUCCAGUGGUCUUGAUGUUGUCAUCACAUUCUUGAUGUGAUGAGUGCUUCCCACCUGUUUCCCUGCCUGACAUGCUGCACAAGGUCUGUCUUUCUCAAAGCAGACAUCAGUUAGUCCUAACACAUGAUCUCCCUUUAGAAGUUUAUGAAGGUUCUUCAUCCCAACAUGUGCUAGACGGCGAUGCCAAAGCCAGCCCAUACUAGUCUUAGCCAUUAGGCAUGCAUCUAGAUCAGCAUUCUCUUUCAAAAAAUCUACUAAAUAGAGUUUGUUGUCUAAUACACCCUUAAACGCUAAUGAACCAUCACUCCUAAAGACAGAUACAUCUAUAUUUGUGAAUAAAUAAUUAUAGCCCAUGUUACAUAAUUGACUCACAGACAAUAAGUUGUACCGAGCGAUUCAACUAAAAACACAUUGGAGAUAGAAUGCUUGGAUGUAAUGGCUAUCUUUCCCAAUCCUUUAACCUUGUCUUGGUUCCCAUCUCCAAAGAUAAUCGAAUCCUGGGAAUCCUUGUUCUUGACGUAGGAGGUGAACAUUUUCUUCUCCCCCGUCAUGUGGUUCGUGCAUCCGCUGUCGAUAAUCCAGCUUGAGCCCCCGGAUGCAUAAACCUGCAAGGGAAUUUACGCUUGGGUUUUAGGUACCCAACUCUUGUUGGGUCCUACAAGGUUAGUCAUAAUAAUUUUUGGAACCCAAAUACAAGUCUUGUCUCCCUUGCAUUUGGAUCCCAACUUCCUAGAAUCUACUUUUUCAUUCUUACAUGAAAGUACAGAUGAAGUGUUACAAGCAUGAAAAACAGUAGUGGGUUUAUUACACAUUUUCCUAGGUGCAUGAUGCACAACAUGAUUUCGCCUAGGCCUACUUCUACCAUGCACAAAAGUGGAACUAGAUGCAAACAUAGCAUGGGAAUCACAAUAAGCAGCAUGAUCAUAACAUCCAUCAUUAUAAGUAUUCCUAGAAUAUUUCCUAUCAUAAAUAUAUGCAUGAUCCUUUUGGGAACUACUAGCCAUAGGGGCCUUCCCUUUCUCCUUGUUGAGAACGGGAGCCUUUUGGCUUGUUAAGUUCUUGGUUUCCUUUCGAAAACCAAGUCCAUCCUUAAUCGAGGGGUGUCUACCAACAGUGUAAGCAUCCCUAGAAAAUUUUAGUUUAUCAAAAUCAAUUUUGCAAGUCUUAAGUUGAGCAUUAAGACUUGCCACCUCAUAAUUUAAUUUAUUAAUAGAAAUAAGAUGUUCAUCAAGGCAUCAACAUUAAAGUCCUUACAUCUAUUACAAAUACUAACAUGCUCUACACAUGAACUAGUUUUAUUUACUUCCUCUAGCUUAGCAUUUAAUUCAUCAUUUAAACUUUUUAAACUAGAGAUAGAUUCAUGGCAAGCAGAUAACCCAGAAGAUGGCAUUUCAUUUUUCUUAGUUUCUAAAGCAAGAGAUUUUUGCACACUAACAAAUUUGUCAUGUUCCUCAUACAAAAUGUCCUCUUGCUUUUCUAGCAGUCUAUCUUUUUCAUUUAGAGCAUCAAUUAAUUUAUUAAUUUUCUCCAUUUUGGCUCUAUCUAAACCUUUAAAUAAACCAGAGUAAUCUACUUCAUCAUCGGAGGAUUCCUCAUCACUAGAAGAAGAGUACUUAGGGGAAUCUCGAAUACAUACCUUCUUCUCCUUGGCCAUGAGGCAAGUGUGGUGUUCGUUUGGGAAGAGCGAAGACUUGUUGAAAGCAGAGGCAGCCAAUCCUUCAUCGUCGGAGUCAGAUGAGGAGUAGUCAGAAUCCCACUCCUUUCCAAGGUGUGCCUCGCCCUUCGCUUUCUUGUAGUUUUUCUUCUUCUUCUUCUUCUUCCCGUACUUUUCUUGUCCAUGGUCAUUAUUGUUAUCAGGGCAUUGUGCUAUGAAAUGACCAGUCUUACCGCAUUUGAAGCAAGAGCGCUUUCCCCUUGUUUCAUUCUUGGAGGGGUACUCUUUGCGUCCUUUGAGUGAGGUCUUGAAGCGUUUGAUGAUGAGUGUCAUCUCAUCUUCAUUUAGUCCGGCAGCCUCAACUUGUGCCACCUUGCUUGGAGCGCCUCCCUGCUACUUGUGGCUUUGAGCGCAACGGGCUGUGGCUCGUAGACGGGUAGUGGACCAUUUAGUGCAUCGUCCACGUAUCGCACCUCCUUCGCCAUCAUGCGCCCGCUCACAAACUUUCCAAGGAUCUCCUCGGGCGUCAUCUUUGUGUACCUGGGGUUUUCACGAAUAAGAUUGACAAGAUGGGGGUCAAUUACAGUAAAUGACCUUAGCAUGAGUCGGACGACAUCAUGAUCCGUCCAUCUUGUGCUUCCAUAGCUUCGAAUCUUGUUGAUGAGGGUCUUGAUCCUGUUGUAGGUCUGAGUUGGCUCCUCUCCCCUGAUCAUCGCGAAUCUCCCCAGCUCGCCUUCCACUAGCUCCAUUUUGGUAAUCAUGGUGGCAUCGUUUCCCUCAUGAGAUAUCUUGAGGGUGUCCCAGAUUUGCUUGGCGUUGUCCAAGCCGCUCACCUUAUUAUAUUCAUCCCUGCAAAGAGAUGCUAGCAACACAGUAGUGGCUUGGGCAUUUUUGUGAAUUUGUUCAUUUAUAGUCACAGGGUUAUCAGUACUAUCAAAAUGCAUCCCAUUCUCUACAAUUUCCCAAAUACUAGGAUGGAGAGAAAAUAGAUGACUACGCAUUUUAUGGCUCCAAAAUGAAUAGUCUUCUCCAUCAAAGUGUGGAGGUUUUCCAAGGGGAAUUGAUAGUAAAUGCGCAUUUGUAUUAUAUGGCAUGCGAGAAUAGUCAAAAGAGUAGUUUUGAUUAACUGUUUUCUUUUUCGACGAAGAGUCGUCGUC